This 87835-nucleotide long non-coding RNA is filed under the name Marmota monax (woodchuck). The stretch from base 83949 to 84017 matches the Rfam family "tRNA". Lineage: Eukaryota; Metazoa; Chordata; Mammalia; Rodentia; Sciuridae. The record is from RNAcentral.
GCCACCCCUGGCAGGAGCCGCACCUCGGACAGCAGCAGCGGCGGCCGCGGGAGGGUUGGUGUGGCGCGGGGCGGUGGGGUCCUGUGUGGAGAGUGGGGCGCGACUCCGAGACCGCGGGCGGAGGCUGCGCACAGCCGGAUCCGGCACCCAUAGACGCGACCCGUGGGUCCGCCAGGGUUCAAGCCGCAGGAGAGCGACUCGGGAACAAGUGUGCGAGAGGAAGCGGCGGUGGCGACGCCGGGCCCGGGGUGGUGACAGCAGGUCUAAGGUGAGAGUCCCCGGGUGCCGAGUGGUGACAACGUGAGCCCAGGCGUGGGGACCCUGGGAGGAGUGAGGUCGGGGGGGACCCGACCGAGGGGAGUUCCGGGAGAGGGUUGACAGUGCGGUCUGUGGGGAGAAGACCCCCGGAGGGACCGGGACAGCGGGACGAGCGGGGACGUCGAGAGGGGCCAGGGCAGUGGGGCGAGGGGAGAGGUCCCUUAGAGGGCCUGGGACGACGGGGUAAAGGAUGGAGACCCGACGGGGACGGAACAGGAGGGUGAGGAAAGGUGCCUCCGAGAGGGACCGGGACAGCGGGGUGAGGGGAGUGGAGCCCGGAGGGACCGGGACAGCGGGUGAAGGGAGGCGGUCCCCAGAGGAGCAGGACAGCGACGUGAGGGGAGACCCCGGGUGGACCGGGACAGCGGGGCGAGGGACGGGCACCCCUAGAGGUCCAGGACAGUGGGGUGCGGGGUGGGGACCCCCAGAGGGGCCGGAACAGUGCGACGAGCGGAGGGACCCUGAAAGGGACCAGAACAGCCGGGAGAGGGGUUGAAAAGACCCUUUUCAAACCCGAAAAGGGUCCAGAGUGAGAGUAUGAGGGAGGGGACCCAAAAGGGACCGGACAGGGGGUCCGAGAGAGGGGACCCCGAGAGGGGCCAGCGCAGAAGUGUGAAGAGGACCCCAGCAAAGCUUAGGACGACGGGGUGAGCGGGGACUCCGCAAGGGGCCCGGACCGAGAGGCGAGGGGCGCGGACCCCCAGAGGGGCCUGGGCGGCGGGAAGAGAGGAGGGGACGGGGCCAGCGGCGGAGCGUGGCACCCAGGGUCGAUCUGGCGCGGAGGGGCCUGGGGGUCGCGCCGACCGGGUCGUGAUACCCCGGGACAGCGCGUCCUGGAGCCUGGGUCGGGGUCGCUACGUCGGGCGAGUGGGGACCGUAGGCAGCGCCCAGCGGGCUACGGACGCUGCUCCCGGGGUCUGGAAUCCGCGAUCUUCCCGAGGGAAGAGUCCUGGGGACCCUGCGGAGCCGGGAUUAUGUAACGAAGCAUCUCGGAGCAGAGCGCACCGGCUGGAGGGCAGGCGGACCGCGGUGGGAAGGAUGGAGAGUCAGGCGGCCUCGCCUCGGCCCGCCGGCGCCCACUCCUUUCCUAGAGUCGCACGUAGAUACCUUGAAAGUGGGGGAUUCUUGACCCUAAAGAAAAGGUCCGGUGGAAAGUUGGAGGGGCUUCCUUCAGCCCACCCCAAGAAGUUGGAAGGGAAAGGGAUGCUUGCGGAGAUCCAGCUUUCGGUUUAAUUAAGUUGUUUAUUUUGACUCUUGUAUUUUCUUGGAUUACUAUUUGUUUGGGGCGGGGGUGUUUGAUUGGGUUUUGUUUUAUUUUUUCUAUUUUAGUUCAGCGAAGAGGUAAGAAACUUUUUCGGAUUUGGCAGCACAUUGGUAUCCAUGUUUACAAUGCAGAUUUAAAGGAGCUACAUACCAGGUUUGGAAUUGGGGUUGUUUAACUUUGAUGAGUUGGAGAUAGUUGGAAGGUCAAAAUAAUUAAGAAGAGAUAUUGGAUUCUCUAAACUAAAUAGUACUUUCCAAUUAGAUCCCAAAAGCUACCAGGACUGAGGUUUAGGCAUAAUUCCAGGACAAACUGGAGAGAGAGAUAAGCCUAUUUAAACCAGACACUGUAUGUCCUGGUGGGAGGCAAGCUUGUGUCUAUUAAAAUGCUGAAACCAAUAGUGGGAAGCCAUAAGAGGAGGCAAUUGAGGGGCAGCCUCCUACUUUGACAGAUGUGAAAAUUAAACUAAUGAGCAGGCUAAUUGUUCACAGUAGUUGGGAUAUGUUAAUAUUUCCCUAACUACCUUUCAAAUGUUCUCUGAAAUGCAUAUGCUAUGUUCUAACCAACCAUUUUGUAUUUGAAUUUUUAAAAAUCUUUGUUUGUGUAUUGCUUCUCCUCACUUCUUUUUUUCACUGCUUUCUUUCUUUUUCUUUUCUUUUUUUAAGAAGCAAUUUGGAAAAUGGUGGCAUGAGGUAUAGGGGGUGGGGGUUAUGUAGCUCAGUUGAAAAGCACUUGCCUGGCAAGUGUGAGGCCCUGGGUUCAAUCCCCAGAAUGAAAAAGGAGAAGAAAAAGAUAAUGGACCAUGUAAUACCAUUUCAGUUAUUUAGAAAUCUUUGUUUCACGUUUAGAAUGUGUCUUAAUGGAAAUUAUUUGCCUGUGUUCUGUAAUGGACAGCUUCAAGUAAAAGGAAGAAAGGAAUGCUGUAGUAUUUCCCAAAAACAUAACUUAUAGAGCAUUUAUUUAUUUAUUUACUUAGUGCUAGGGAUCAAACCCAGGGCCUCACUCAAGCUAGGCAAGUGGUCCCAGGCCCUAGAUUUUCUAUUUAAAUCCAAGUCAAAAAUUACUGAAGUCAUUUUUAUAGGGGGGAUGAGAAGUAGAGGACAGGCUCUGAUUAGGGAUUUUAUUUGACAUUACGUGAUGCAGUUCUUAUGUGGCUGCAGAGAGUGUAGAACUUGAUGCAGUUAUGAAAAUUCCACUAACUCCAAGUCCUCCCCUGAGAAGAAGUUAGACCAACAUGAGAAAUAAGAGCAGCAAGGACACAUUUAAAAUAUGAGAUAUACUAUAAGAUGUUUUGAGUAUAAUUUUUUACAUUAAAUUUAUUAUUCCAGGAAGCUAGGUAGAGUUCAAGUAAAAAUGAGGUCAGUUAACUUACAAGGUUAUUUGGAGGGGGCACAGAUUCAUUAUGAAGUGCAUAUAAUGUAUAAAGUGACCUGUGGAAGGACUGGUGAUCUCAGCACCAACAAUCCUACAAAGUAAUAGAAAUGUUUGAGCAGAUAAGUCCUUUCACUGUCUUGUUAGCUCAUUUCUGACUGGUAUAAAUGGUCAUUUCUGAAGACAAAACAUUGAAUUUAUUUCCUUUUAAGAAAAGAAAGUGCUCUGAUACUCCCCUGAGUGAUUACUAAAGCAGUCAUUUUAACCACAUUACGUUAUGGUAUUGAUCCAAGGAUGAUGAAGAGAGAUUCAUUGUAGUAGAAUUUUUUAGUGAUAAGAAGGGCCUAUAAUAACUUUAUUCCCUGGAGGGGGAGGGGAUAGGAGGGUAGGAAUUCAGUGGGAAUUUUUUUUCAUUUGUUUCGAAAACUAAAAUGACACUCCAAGAAACUAUAAGUAUGUGAAAUCUUUAUACUCUGUUCUUUAAAUUAUUUCCUAUCUAAAAAUAGGAUCACAAGAAGUUGGAGCUUUACAUUUCCAUAUGAAUGGUGAUGGCAACCACAGAAUUUAAGUUCUUUUUGGUUCUUUAAGUGUUCUCAGUCUUAGCUUAGCAGGAUGCAAGGACUGCCCAGUAAAUACAAUAACCCAUUUUACACUUUCUUUACCACUUGAGUCCUAUACAGUCAAACCAUUGUAGUCUCAGAAACUACCUUGAUAUCUAAAUUGGUUUAAUGUUUAAGCCAACCUGAAUAAACGUUCUCAUUGCUUGCCAAUAUUCAUGUUCAUUGGUUUUAGUAGUACAGGAGAAUGCAUGAAAGCUAACUAUUGAUUCUUUUUUCUACAUAGUCAGCUAAAAACCUCUUUCCUUUGUAGUUUUUCCAGUCUUCAUUUCUUCCCUCUCCACCCCCUCCAAAAUACAGACACAGGAAGGAAACAAUGAGGAAGAGAGGGGGGGGGGCGGUGGUGGAAAGAAAGAUUCCAUCUAAAAGUGUUUUGUGGCUGGACUUAUUUCUUUUCUUUUCUCUUUUAAAAAACAUUUAUUUUUUAGUUGUAGGUGGACACAAUACCUUUAUUUUAUUUUUAUGUGGUGCUGAGGAUUGAACCCAUUGGCUCACGCAUGCUAGGUGAGCACUCUACCUCUGAGCCACAACCCCCACCCAGUGGCUGGACUUCUUUCAAUAAGAGAUUCCUAUCUGUCAGAUUGCUUUUUAAUUAUUAUUUUUGAGUUGUGGGAUAUUAUAUAAUGCAUUUUUUUCUUACUGAAGCUUUAUAAUGUCUUGAUAUCUUAUGUAGUUCUAACUUUUCAAUUUCAAAACUGUCUUGGCUUUUAUUGGCAAUAUACAUUUUCAAUGUUUGUUUUUUGUUUUUUAAUUAGUUGUACAUUGCAGUAGAAUGCCCUUUGACACAUUAUAUACAAAUGGAGCACAACUUCUCAUUUCUCUGGCUGUACAUGAUGCAGAGUCACACCAGUAGUGUAGUCACACAUGUAAAUAGAGUAAUAAUAUUCAUCUCCUUCCACUGUCCUUCCCACUUCACACCCACUCCCCUCUGCCCAAUCCAGAGUUCCUUUAUUCUUCCCCUACACGCCCCCCUGCCCCCAUUGGCAUUAUGGAUCAGCAUCCAUUUAUCAGAGAAAGCAUUCUGGCUUUGGUUUUGGGGAUUAGGCUUAUUUCACUUAGCAUGAUAUUCUCCAGCUCCAUCCAUUUACCUGCAAAUGCCAUAAUUCAUUCUUCUUUAAGGUUGAGUAAUAGUCCAUUGUUAUACAAUGCAUUUUAACUUAAAGAAAACAAUUUAACAAUUGUGACUUGUCUAAUUUUCCAUUUAAUUGGUUGCUUUACUGUUUGUGAGGAUUUGUUAAAAGCUUGUUCCUGUUUCUUAAGCUCAGUAAAAGAAAUAAAUGACAUUUAUUGAUCAACUAUAAUUAUCAUUUAGUUAUGGUUAAGGUAAAUUUGUGGAUCAAAAUGUAAUCUAGCUCAUUUCUAAGCCAUAAGAACCAAAUUUAAAAAAGAACUACUAAAUGAGUUAUAACCAGUAAGAAUUAAAUCAGUUUUUAUUGUUCUGGCUAUAUGUUGUUAAAGUUACAUAAAUAUAAAUGAACCUAAAUGUUUUUUUCUGUCCAAUCUGAGAUUUGUUAGUGAUAUUAAAGUAUAAAGUCUUCAUAACAUUUUUUUUUUUGGUACUGAGAAUUGAGCUCAGGGCCCUUAACCACUGAGCCACAUCCCCAGCCCUAUUUUGUAUUUUAUGUAGAGACAGGGUCUCACUGAGUUGCUUAGCACCUCACUUUUGCUAGAGCUGGCUUUGAACUUGCUGUCCUCCUGCCUCAGCCUCCCAAGCCACUGGUAUUACAGGCGUGUGCCACUGCACCUGGUACUUAUUUCUAUUUUACAAGGUAAAAUGCUAGUUUUUUGGCAACAGAAUCACUUAGAAGCCAAUUCAUUUGUUACCACAGGCCAGUCUUCCAAGCAUUGUCAGCUGUUUCACAAAUAGACAUUUUUCAUCCAUAGAGUGAGUGAAAGAGGAAGAUGGCUUGGAAUAAGCGUUUAACACCUAGUGAAACCUACUGCCUUUCACCAAAGAGGUGUGCACCAUGGGGCGUGAUUCUAAUAGUGGGAAUUUACCCGCCGGAGUCAGGUGUUUAGGCCCUUUUACUUCACCUCUGGCCUCAUUGAAAUGAUGGCUAGCAAAACCAACCCCACCUUAUGCUUUUUGUUUUAAUAUUGUAAUCAAAGUACUCAUUGGAAGAGCUCAAUAAUUUCGUUCCAGAUCAAACUGGGUCUCUAGGCAAUAAGUAUUAUUGUUAGAUGUUUCACUUUCUGUCUAAUGACACUGGCUUCCGUCCAUAGAAAUCAAGGGUUAUGACAAUUCAAACACAUUUUAUUUACCCAUUACAAUAGAUGGCACUAAUCAAGACAGAAUACUUUCUUUAAUUUUUAGUUGUUGAUAGACCGUUAUUUUAUUUAUUUAUAUGCAGUGCCGAGAAUCGAACCCAGUGGUUCACACGUGCCAGGCAAGUGCACUACCACUGAGCCCCAGCCCCCAGAAUAUUUUCUUAAGUAAACUAGUAACCUCAUUAGGCUUGUAAGUAGAUGUACUGAACAGAAUCAGAGUUCAUGUCCAAUUUUCCAUUCUGUUGUGAAUAUUAGCCUUUAUUUUUUGAAGGGUGAAUAGAUAAAUACACAAAUACUUUCCAAAACCAUAUGAAUGUGGUUUUAAAAUGAUCUAGGUUAAGAUUUAAUAGUAGAGAGAUGACAUUGCAGUAAUAUGCUUUCUGUACUUUUAUGCCUCCAUUGUCUCUGCAAACUCUCUUCACCCAUUCUAUCCCAGUCCCCUAUUUACGUUGUGUUUGUCAUUUACUAGCUUGUGAGCACGUUGAGAACAGAGAUGGAAGGGUCUUUUCCACCUUUGUGUCCCCCACACCAGGUAUAAUGAAGCACAAAAUGUGGAGAUUGCACAGUCAAUGUGAAUUGAAUGAGUGAAUGAAUUAAUGAUCAGCCAAAUUAAAAGAUGGUAUUUUUGUGCACAUGAUUUCUAAUCCUUAUUGAGAGCUUAUAAUUCAUCAAAAGGAUAUUAAGAGACUGGCAAUAUCUCUGGAAUAGAAGAAUAAAUGUCAGCACUGUAUAUCUCCCACAUGAAGCAUCAGGAUCCAAUGGAAAGAAAAAAGAACCUGAGACCCAGAGACACCUAUGCACCUUUUUUUGACUCUGUUACUAUGUCAGCUGCCUGACCCUGACUAAGUUACUCAAGGCUUGAAGCUCUCAAUCGUCUCCUCUUUAAAAUAAGAAUAUACAGCCUCGCAGGCAAAAGGCCCUGGGUUCAAUCCCCAGCACCAAAAAAAUAUAUAUAUAUAUAUAUAUAUAUAUAUAUAUAUACACACACACACACACACACACACACUCACACACAAAAAAUAUAUAUACACAUAUAUAUGUACAUACACACACAAACUUCUUGGGAUUCUUGGAAGUAAUGAAUGAAGUGAUUUAUGUAAAGUACCAAGCACAAUGACAAACAUAUAGAAAUUGCUUAAUAAAUGGUCACUGCUUCUUAUUUUACUUACUUGAAACAAUUAUUCAUUGCUAUUUUUCCUCUACUUCCAUUUCUAAUGCUUUGCUGAACCCCAUGGCUUAUGAUUCCAAAAAGAAAGAUGAAUAGAUUCACACAAAGGUGAACCGAGACUCAGAGGUAAAUGACUUCCCAGAGUCACACAGACAAUGGCCAUCAAACACAUGACCACUAUGACCUAGGUCUUCUUUGGGUUUUUGUUGUUGAUGUUGUUGGCAUGCUGGAGGUCAAAAACCCAGGGCCGGCUGCCUGCUAAGCAUGUGCUCUACCAUAGAGCCACACCCCCAGCCCUAUAUCUGGUUUUCCAAUGAAGCACAACUUCCACCCUUUGCUAUCCAAGUAGGAUCCAGUGAAGGCCUUAAUAGGUGCUGUGGAAGGACGACUGUGACAGUUUCCCAGUCUCCUCUUGUUUUUUGUCCUUUCUAUGUAUGCUUGUCUUAUUCUCCCUAAAGUACAGCUCUGAUUUUGUCAUUCACUUGCUCAAAGUCUUUUAUAAUUUCUCAUGGCUUACUGAAUUCAGUACAAAUCUAUCAACCCGUUUUUUAGGUUCCUGUCACCCCAGUUUAUUACACACACACACAUAUACUCAUAUAUGCACAUAUCCUAAUAUAGUCUUAGAUAUACUCACGCAUGUGAGUGUAUAUGUACAUGUAUACAUAUGUAUUUAUAUGUGUGUAUGUGCAUAUAUUUGUGCAUAUAUAUAUAUUUUUAUAUAUAUAUAUAUAUGUAUGUGUGUGUAUAUAUAUAUAUUUAUUUAUUUAUUUAUUUAUAUAUGCAUGUUCUUUGCCACAACCAGAAUGACCUGCGCACCUUUGUUCCUGCCCUUUCUUUUGCCGGGACACCUUCUGUGCCUCAUUCUUGAGGCCUGCCUCUAAUGCCAUUUUUUAGGAUCCUCCUCUGAUCAUCCUCCUGAUGCUUCUCCUUUAGAUUACCUAAGUAUUUGAUCUGUACUUCUUCUCAUUACGUUCUGUUCUCCUGAUAGCACACUAUAGGGUUUAUACUUGUCUUAGCCUUCCCAGACAUCCAUCUUCUUGAUGCUAAAAAGAGUGUCUUAACACACAUUUAACAAGUGCCUUGCAAAUGGUAUCUUAAUUGUUGAAUUGUGUUAAAUUUACAUACUCAAUUCAAAAUAAUAUUCAAUUAUAUUUAUACAAAUAAUUAUAAAACAAAGUUAUUGCUGCCAGUGAACAUAACAAGGAUCAUUCCUAAGGGAAGAAUUCACUUUUGACCCUGACGGUUGGCAAAUUGAUGCCUGUGGUAUUAAAUAUAUGGAAACUUGUAUGCUCUGUUUAAGCAUCAGUGAUAUUCCCUAAAGUGCAUUUUGACUCUAAUAUUUAGGAUUUGUUAUUUUAUUUCCUUAGGUGAUGGUUUUAUUAGAUGGGUCUUUGGAAUUUUGCUUUCCUUCCUGUGGGUAUUAGCAACAAAUGAAGUAAGAAUCUCUAUCAUUUGCAAGAGAGAUAGUCGUUCACUUGAGUCUGUCUGGAAAAAGCUUAACACUCUGAUCUUUCAAAGCAAAGCAAGUGCCCCACUUUGUAGUGGAAGCAGUUUGCAGUCACACUCAGAUAAACUUACUGUUGUCUCCAUCUUUCAUAUUGAAUUCUUCUGCGUAGCACUUGCCACCUUUUGACAUACCAAAAUACAGUUGUCUGUUUGUCUUAAAUUCCUGUGGUGGAAUUUAGGGUCCCUGAAGAUAGAAAUUUUUUGUUUCAUUCAUUGCUGUAGCCCUAACUCACAGAACAAUUGACUAGCAUGUAGUAGUCACUUAGUAAGUAUUUGCAUAACUAGCAGAGAAAUUUGGCUUUGGGAAUUCCUCCAAUUUGUUAACUAAAACAGGUUUUGUUAUUUUAAACAUGAAGAAGUAAAGUUCAAGGCAGUUGACUUUACUGGCUAGGAAGAAUAGAGUAUAUUUAUAUACUUUACUCAGGGUUUUACUUUUUUUUUUUUUUUUUCCUGUUUAUUCUUGUAGGAAAGAUUGAACUAAGGGCCUAGCCCAUGCUAACUAAGCAAGCAUUCUACCACAGAGCUGCAUCCCCAGCCCUUUUUAUUUUAUUUUGAGACAGGGUCUUGCAAAAUGGCCCAGGCUGGCUUUGAAUGUGUGGGUCUCCAGCCUCAGUAUUCCAAAAAGCUGGGAUUAUAUAGCCACCACACCCAGACUACAUUCAUUUUCCUUGAGCAGCCUUGAAUUUGCUAUAUUAUUAUUUAAUUGAAUGCAAAUAAAAAGUCAUUGCUACCAUCAUACCAUACGUUGAAGAUGAUUGUGUCUCAGUCUAGCUAAAAACCUAAGAAAACUAUUCUUUGGAACAAAGUCUAAUGGAAGCUUGCUGACAUGGCCUUAGGCAUUAAAGACUCAUAAGACCAAAAUAGUAAUAAGAUUCGGUACAGGAGCAUUAUCCCUUUAAACAUUUCACUUGUUUUUCUUAGAUGCUGAUUUUGACCCUGAAAAUUGGUCAAAUCAAGCUUCUGAUGUUAAUUUGGGGUUGUUAUCAGUUUUCUGCAUGUACUAGUAAUUGGGUUUGAAAUGUGUUUUAAGCCUGAAUUAAAAGAACUUAGUCACUGGUGACUCAUGGUGAGAAGUUUUUCCCUUUCUCUGCUGGAGCAUAUGCCAUUGCCUCCAACAUGCUUUUUUUGAAACAUUGAAAACGUACAAAUUCUUAUUUUUAUGUACUAGGUUCUGGAAAAGUUCUUUUUGGCUUAAAGCGGCAGCGUUCAUUUCAAUGCUUUUUAGUAGUAAGUGCUAAUUACCAUUGACUUUCCAAAUUUCCAUCCAAAUUUCUUUAAUCUCUGCUUUUAUGAAAGUAUUCUCAUUAUAUACAAAGUCCUCAACCACCCACUACAUGAAUGACCACCACCAAGACUCAGUUUUGUUCAUUAUCAUUUUCUAGUGUCUAGAACUGCGCUUUGGGCAAAGAAGGGAAUAAGUAUCUGAAGUCACAUACAUUCUUGAUAAUAGUGCACCUAGAAAAAAAAAAUCAGGAAACCCUGUUAAAGUAGGAUUUACUCCAGCCCUUGAAUUGAGUAAUCACCAAUUCCUAACCAGCCUAGUUUGGGAAGCUCAAAGCUCUCAGCAUUUCCAAGGUAGUUCUGUCUUUUCUGCUCCAAAUGUUCCAAACAUGGGUUGUGUCAACCUUCAAAUCCCCUUUAGCGGAUCACUUUUGGAAGCCUAGAGAGGCGCCGCCCAUAGGCACUGCACCUGUGAGAGCCAAUGGGCGGUGCGACAGGAAAUGCUUCAGCUCACAGGGCUGAUAGCAACGUGUGGCACCCUCAUGCUCUUUUUAUCUGCAGUUCCUUAUUGUAGGAGGUUUCUGGAAGUUGCUUUUUUUUUUUUUUAAUAAAUAAUAAAUAUAUAAACUUAAGAGAGAACUGUAGAUUUGAAAGUUAAGAUGUGAAUGGUUAUUUGCCUUUUCUUCACUACCAAGGAAUUGGUGAGUUGUCCUUUCAUUUCUGUUCUUUUUCUUUCUAACAUUGUAUCCUGUGAAAUGUUACUCUAGCACAUUGGGCAGGGGAGCAGAGAGUGCAUAAAUGUAAAAUAAUUGGAACUUAAACCGAUAUUGUUAUCAAUAACAGUAACCCAUUCUGAUUUUAUAUGCUACCACAUCGGUAAACACUGAUAAAAUAUCAUAGAUUUUUACAGGUGAUUUGUUUACCUUGAGCAAGUUUUUCUCUUUUAAAGGGACUAGGAGGAAAGUUCUGGAAAAGGUUUUCAGAAAAUUCUUUCCAAAAUGUUGAAAUAUAAAGCUGCAUAAAGUGCUGUUGGCGUUAACUGUCUGACCAGGAAGUACUUUAAGUCUCACUUACAAAAAACUAAGUGUCUAUAAUAACUUCCUUUCUCGGGAUGAAGGUGCUUAAUAGCCUAGUGGUGUUCUCAUAACUUGAGUGUAGUUCAAUUUUAUUUUUCCUGUGAGUAAGAGGCAGCUGUUUAAAGAAAGCCAUCUCUGGGGCAGACUUAAUGAUUGCAAUGGCUAAAUAAAGAAUUUUUACAGUUUUUAAUGUGUUGGAUUGGAAAUAAUAGAACAUGCAUUUGAGAAGAUUGACUGUGAGUAAGUGUAGUUGGAAUUUUUACUUUCAGUGUUUUAUUGUGAAUAUGGUUUGUGUGUAAGCAUUGUGAAUAAACAGGAGUAAACUCCCUGUUGAAUUUCAUGUGAAUAUUUAUGGCCUUAACCCAAAGUCCCAUUAGGCACAAUCAGUCUUGAAAGGCAUUGGAUUCAUAUCCUCUAUUUUAAUUAGUAGCCUGAUAUUCUACAAGUGUCAAUUUUUUUAAAAAAUCAGGCUUUUAAAAUUUUUCCUUUCUACUGGAUAAGUAAGGUAAAUGCUGAGUUGCCAAUAAAAUAUCAAAAUCUUAGCAGAAGACUCCUUUAAACAAAACAAUUUUUAAAUGUUAAAGGUUCAUCUUUAUUAGAUGGAUACAGUUUAUGCUAAUGAAUGAUAUUAUUACUUUAAAACGUAUUUCAAAAUUAAGCCUCUCAAAAUGGCCAACUAUCCAUCCUAGAGAUCUUUAAAAAUAUUAUAGUUAAUAUUUGUAUUCUCUCACAGAAAAAAAGAAAACAGGAGAGAAAGCAAAGAAAUUUCUUGACUAUAAUACCAAAUUACAUUCAAAAACAGACAAAAAGAUCAGAGCAUCUACUCAUAUUUACUUUGUUUUGUAAUUUUUUAUCAUUUUAAUACAUAGGGUCAGUUACUAAAGUAUAAAAUAUUGUAUAUGAUUAUAAUGCACCAAUAAAACAUGUGGAAAGUGGGGGGAAGUAUGAAAAUAAAAUAGCCAUGAGGAGACCAACUUUGCUAGGCUCUUUGAACAAAGUUUAAAUGAAAUGUGUAAGCUAACGUAACCCUGAUGUCCAGACUCCUGAUAUUUUACAUACUGUAUGUGUAAAUUAGCUCUUAACAUUAUACAUAGGAUGAGUUUUUCAUUCAGCCGUCAUUACAGUGGCUGCUACUCAUUGGGAGGGGGAGGAGCUGUCUAAUACAUAAAAAAGGAAAUUUAACAUUUCCAAUAAUCCUUGAAAUGUGGAGCAGGUAGCAUGUGCUUUUUCUCUCAAGAUUUAUGACUGUCAAAGACUGAACAGUACAAAUUAUAUCAAUUUCGGUUUUCCUAGAGAGAGGGGCCUUUUGUGGUCAUCUGAAUGUUAGACUCCCAGGCCAGAGGAUCCCAGUCAUAGUUUGGGUGGGGGUGGGGCAGGGGCAGAGGAAGUGGGUGGUGCUUCACAGUGACAGAUUAUUGCAGAUUAUCUGGCUGCCUGCCAAAAAUGCCACCAGUCAAGGGAAAAGUGGAAGUUACUAACUGCAUCCUAUUAAUUUGUGCAUGUUUAUUUAACCAGUCCUAACAGUUUCCUGGUUGCAUACGCUCCUGAGUGACUUGACAUAUGCUUAAUCUUAUGUUCUCUAGUUUCCCGUGGUCAUAUUCCUUAUCUCUGGUCUGCAAAGAUCAUACUGACCCUUUUGUGGAAGGCCACGUGUUAGCUGAAAAAAGAAGGGGGAGGGGAGGCAGAAUUUAAAACCACAGCUGCUUUAUUGUUUAUUUAAGAAUGUUGCAGAACUAAGAUGUAAGGAUGUCCCAUCACAUUUAGACUAUUACAGAAAAUACUCAAAAAAAAAAAAAUGAUCCUCUCCUGUGAAGGAGUAAGUAGCUCUAGAUUGUUCUGGUUCAGUUAGAAAUUGAUAUUCUUACUGUUGCAACAUAAAAGGAAGCUUUGUGGAGGAAAUAUGACAUCUGUGCCCAGAUGCAUAAGGAGGGAAUUACAGUGGAGAGUUAUUUUUAGAAGUGUCUUAUGAAUAUAUUUUUUGUACUGAGAAGUGCCUUUAGAAGGUUAGUUUACUGGCAGGAGUUACACAAGUUGCUCAGGUCACUGAAUAAUCUAAGAAAAUACUUUUAAAAGAAUUAUCAUGUCACCAACUAGCCUAGUUCAUCUACUAAUUUAAGUAGCAGCAUUGUUUUAUUUAGUUAUUUUUUGGUACUAGCGAUUGAACCAAGGGGCACUUAAUCCCGGAGCUACACUCCUAGCCCUUUUUGUUUUUUAUUUAGAGGCAAGGUCUCACAGAGUUGCUUAGGACCUCGCUAAAUUAUUGAGGCUGUCCUCCUGCCUCAGCCUCCCAGGUUGCAGGGAUUACAGAUGUGCACCACUGUACCUGACAUUGUAUUUUUUUUUAAUAUAACCAAACUGAGGAUAUGGAGAUUCUGUGGAUAUCAUCAAAUAGUAUACGUCAUAUAAAUUGUUCCACUGAAAGAAGGGCCUGUACAACUCCCAAUUCAUAGUGAGGUCCCACUGCUCUUCCUGAAGAGAGUGCAGUGUUUUCAGCUGAAGGAGCCAGGCAGCCUACCAUUUGUGUCACUGACAACACAGCUCUUGGAUCUGGUGCCCCUCUCUAACCUUACACGGUGACAGCAUGCCCAGCUUCCUUAUAUUUCCUACUUUUGGUUUUGAUCACUUAUAUUUGGAGUUGGCACCAUAACAACUUACAGGAGCAGGACAGAUGAAUGUGUCUGCCAUCUGCUAGUUUAUGACCUUGUACAGAUCCUUUAAUGUCCUUGAAACCUCAGUUUCUUCAACUAUUAAGUGGACAUUAACCACAGCGUCCACCUUACACAAUUGCUGCAAUGAUUAAAUGAAAUAAUGUGUGGAAAGCACAAAGUUGGUCACACGUGACAAAGGAGUGAUAAUGGUGAUGUUCCCUGUUGUUCUUUUUGGCUAUUCCAAUCCUCUUCCGUGGCUCCACCAGGAAAUGAUCAUGAGCAGAGAGAUAAUAACACAUGAAACAUGCACAGGCCAUAGAAUCAGUGUUAUAAUGACAGAAAAAUUCAGCAAAUACCGCAGGACCACAUGAAUGACAUCCACUGAGUGAGCCAUUCCUCUAACUAUAUUUUGUGCUGCCCAUCCUAAGGGGGUGGCAGAAAAGGGGCCAUUGGCUGUAGAUUUAAUAAUGAUUAGUCAAAAUGGUUCCAUGGUCCAACAUAUUUAUCUUUAGCAACAUUUUUCUCUUUCACUUAAGAGAAUUUCCUCCCGGUUGGAUAGAACUCAGGAAAUCGAAGUGGCAAAUUGUUGAUUUUCUUUUUAAAUUCAUUUUUCCUAGGGUAUGUGCAUGUUUGUGUAUUCAUUUUCUUCUGAGCAGACCACUAUCAGAAAAAGUUAGGACUGUGUCUUAAGAUCAGCUAAAAAAGACAAGUUUUUGUUCUUUGCCUUGGUGAAACCAGACCACAGAGAAUAUAUAUUUGAGCAUAAAGAAGAAUGUUUUUCUGUUUCUGCUCUGCGUCCCUAGGGGUUCACUGUCCUGUGAUGGGUCAGCUAACUUCAUUCAUGAAUUGAAAACAAUACAGCUAAUUCUUACAUAAGCAAAUUUUUAUGGAACGUGUUAGCAAAGCAGAUGUAAAAUUUGAGGGACACCUGCAAUAAAUUGAAUAAACCAAACACUGAAACUGCCUCUAUCCUACUUGAAAGAUGUUUAGCCUUUGUGAACAUAUUUCUAGGGCUUGAAGUUUCUGGGUGUUAAUCUGUAGCCUAACCCUUCUGCCCUGUGGCCUGCUCCUGAAUUAGUCUGUCUUUUCCCCAUUUCUGGUAGCCCCUAACUUUAUAUUCGCAACAUUGCCACCUAGAUACCCUGUGUGUUUGGGUCCCUGUCCUAAAGCUCCCUCAAGAUCCUUCUUUACACCUCCUUCCAGUGGGCCACUCCCCUGUGCAGGGAGCUUCAGUGGCUGGCGGUUUUCCACUACAUUACAUCCACCUCCUUCUGUCUUACUGUCAACACCCUUCCUAAUCUGUCCCCACACUGUUCAUCCCGCUUCAUUUCCUGUAUACUUGGACCCAUCCUUGCUGGUCUCUGAAGUCAGCCUCUCAAACAUGGAGUCUCUCAAACUUGGAGUCUGUGCUUUUGGUGCUGCUAUUUACUGGAUCCAAAAAGCCCUCCUCCGGAGAACCUCUGCCUGCUCCUUUCCUUCAAGACCCUGUGACAAGUUCACUUUCUGUUUGAAGCCUUCCCUAUUUAAUCUCUUACUGUUUUUGCUGCAAACUCCCAGGGAAUUUUUAAAAAAUAUUUUGUUGGUUGUCCAUGGAUCUUUAUUUAUUUAUAUGCAGUGCUGAGAAUCGAACCCAGCGCCUCACACAUGCUAGGCAGGUGCUCUAGCACAGAGCCCCAGCCCCUGCCCUGCAAACUCUCAGGUGAUUUUUUAAUUGCACAAAGCAAUGAACAAAAAUGUGUGUGGCGUCGUAUAUUAUUCGCUAUUAUAUCUUCACUCAUGUAAAGAUUUUGAAUAUAGGGCCUUAUCUUACAGUUAUAACUUUCACAGUUCCUAUCAUUGGUAUCUACCAUUUGAAGGGAAAGAAGACAAAGUAGAUUUAUUCCAUCAUGUCUACCGAAAUCAAGUCAGUAAUCCUGGUGAUGCUGAAGGGAUCCGGAUAUUUUUCCAAAUGGGGCCAAGUUUAAUAUAAAGGAAAAUGAUUUUGUAUUUGGUUAUAGAUUGAUAUCUUUGCUUUUCUCUAUGAAAAACUAUGUAUAUGUAUGCAAAUAAGUACAUAUACACAUACAUAUGGGUUUUUUUUUCUUUAUUUAUUUCUUUUAUGGUGCCUGGGCCUUGUACAUGCUAAGCCUGUGCUCCACCACUGAGCUGUACUCCCAACUUCUGUCUUUGAAGGGAUACUGAAAUUAAUUGUAAAAGAACACUGCUUUCAAAAAUUAAAAAAAAUAAAUAAAUAAAAAUAAAGAAGAAAAGAAAAAAAAAAAAAAACACCCAAUCUGCAGGAAAACUCUAUUAGGGAAGAUGAAAUAUAGCUUAAACAUAGGAAUGCUUGUUACUUAAGUUGGGUGUUUUUUGCCUCAGUUGUCAAUUAGUCAUCUAUCUUUUGAAAUACAUUCCUUUGUAUUGAUUGCAAAGAGCAUUUAGGACACCCAAAUAAACAUAAAAACCUUAAAGUGCAAAAUGGAUAAGAACAUAGAGACACUGUCUAGUUAAUGCUUUGAUUUGCAUUAAAGUUUGGUUUUGGAUGCAGCCAGUAAUACCAUGCUUCUUGUACAUUUAUUCAGUAAAUAGUGACCAUUUACUUGUGUCAGGCUGUGUACUAGUUCUGAAUAACACUGUCUUUUACUUAAUUAAUAAGCAGAAAAUCAAACUAUUUGGCUAGUGCAAUGCUGUAAAGACCCAUAUGAUUGAUGCUAGAAAAACAUACAGAAAGCGCACUUAAUUGAGUUAACCUAAUAUAAAAAUGCCUUUUUUAAUAAAUUCCUGGUUAGCCUUAAACAUACCUUGUAAAAUAAGACCAGCCAUUAACUCCACAGUUUAGACCACAACAAUAAUAGUUGCUGAUUAUCGAGCAGUCAGUGAUGCCAGGCGUUGCAAUUUGUGCUUUAUAUGCUAAAAUAUCUCAGAAGGCAUUGAUGGCUUCUUCUAUGUGUGGACACAGGUGUGCUUGCACACACACCCACACUCUAAGGGGAUGUGCCCUGAUGUUCAGAGAGGUUAGGUGUUUUCUCAAGGUCAGUAGCAGAAUCUAGACUUGAACUCAGUCCUGACCUGUGUUCCUAACUAUUGUACCGUGCUUCCUCUGUAUUUUUAAAAUCCAUCCAUGUCGUAGCAUGCUUCAGUACUUCACUCUUUUUACUGCAAAAUAAUAUUCCAUUGUAUGGACAGACCACAUUCUGUUCAUCUCUUCACCAGUUGAUGGAUGUUAGAGUUCUUUCCACUUUUUGGCAAUUUAUGAAUAAUGCUGCAGUAAACAUCCAUUUACAAGUUUUUGUGUGAACGUGUUUUAAUUCCCUUGGGUAUAAUUCAAAUGAACAUGCCUUUAAAUGGUUUCUUUUGAGUCAUUUAUUCAAUAUCUCUUCACAUACAUACACACACACACACACAAACACACACACACACACACGAAUACUGUUUGUUUAGCUGAUUUAUUUGCUAGGCCUUUUCCUCAGAAAUAAAGUAGAGGCAGGCUUAUGCUCAGAUGCUGGCCAGGUAGUCCUUCAUUCCAGAUGAACAGCCUGAAUUUAACUGCUACCUUGAAGGCACUGUGGAGAACAAAUAAUAAAGACUCCAACUGUUAGUCAUAUUCAGUUAAUGAAAUUAAGAAGUGAGCAUGCCCUUUAAAAUCAAGGCAUGGGACAUCAACACCAUCAAGAAGUUGUCAAAGACUUUCUGUGUGUGAGGAGGGAAGCCAUGACUUCUGUCACUUGGAAAUGGAGUCUGAAUGAGUCUCGAAUGCCCGUCAGUUUUUCUGCAGAUAGGGUGGGACAUAAUCAAUGUAUUUUUUAGCCCUGUUCAGACAUUGUGAACAAGUGCAGAAUACUUAAGGACAGGGACAAAUCAAAGGCCUUUGAAUCACAUACCAAGAGUUUGAACUUUGAACGGUAGAUAGUGGGGAGCCAUUUAAGAUAUUUGAAUAGAAGAGACAGAUGCCAUCAGAGCCUUUGAAAGACUACUCCAUGGACCGUUUGUAGACUGACUUAGAGGAAGAAAGAGAUUGGGAACGAGAACUUGGACUGGUAAUGAGUUUCCAGAACUAGGCCAGCCUCAGUGGAAAAAAGAAAAGCAGCUUGGGAGAGAUUUAUCGAGGGCAUUAAGAGCUUGGGAGCUAAAAACGCAGGAGUGGAUCAGAUGAACCAGAGAAAGCGUAGCGAGCUGAGCCCAGCACGGGCGUUUGCCAUAAGAGGGGAGAGGAGGAGGACCAGUAGCCAGCAGGUGGUUGGAAAGGAGCUCAGGAGCACCAAAGCAAGAAGGAAGAGCCUUGCAAGGAGGUGCUGCCUUGAGGUUACAGAAGGUAGGAGCCCAGGAGAAUCCUCUUUGUAUUUGGAGAUGAGGCGGCUGGAGCUGGGGAGCUUGCUUCCCAUGAGGGAGGCUGCCCCCUCCUUCCCUCAGCAGACCAGACCUUGAGCAGACUCAGGCCAGAAAGUAAGCGUGGAUAAGGAGAAAAGUAAAGAUUUAAGAAAAACAAUGGAAAGAGAAGGUCAAGGGAUCAAGAAUUAAGAGGCCAGUUGUUCUUGUUCUUUUGAGGUAGUUAACCUGAAAAGAAGAGGGAGGGAUGAAGGUAAGUAUUGCAGGAAUUUCAAGGUGAAUGGAGAAAAGUUGAAGAAACUUAUGUUGAAAGGCUUGCUUUAGAAUUUACGGUAUUACUGCUGCUUGGUUUUUUGGAGUUUUGUUUUGUUUUGUGUUUUGGUACCAAGGAUUGAACCCAGGGGCGCUCAACCACUGAGCCACAUCCCCAGCCCUUUUUUAUUAUUUAUUUUGAGACAGGGUCUCAAUAAGUUGCUUAGGACCUUGCUAAAUUGCAGAGGCUGGCCUCAAACUUGGGAUCCUCCUGUCUCAGCCUCCCAAGCCACCGGGAUGACCCGUGUGAGCCACCACACUUGGCAGUAUUAUUGCUUUUUAGUAGUACUACAGAUAGACUAGUGAGAAUUAGAAAAUACCUUGUAUUACCUCAAGGAUAUAUAGGAAGAUUAAUCUCCAUCCUCCCAUUCUCUAUAAAUAUUUCAUUCUUGGUGAUGGAUUGAACGUAUCUUUGCUCAUUCUUUUAAAUGCACCGGCUCCUAAAAGCAGUUACAUGGUGUAAUUAUAUGGACCACUAGUUAGGCCCAUUGAGUCCAGGUUUCUUGUGAUUAUUCAAGGUGUGCAUUUUGAGGGCUAAUAUUAGUGGGAAAUCAAGUACAGUAUUUUGUUUCAAAGUUAGUUCAUAAUCAUCAGUUUAAGUAUUUUUAUACAAAUGCUUUUCUCUUUCUAAAAGAUGCCCCCAAAUAAUAUUUUGUAUUUUCUGUAGAAUAUUAAUUUAUUAGUAAUCUGUUCUAUAGUGUAGCAGGCACUGUGAUGACAUCUGCAGAAGUAAUGAUGACUGUGUAUCACUUUGAAAUUAUAAAUUCCCUGUCUUCAGAAGUGAUAAAAAUCAGUUCUUUGUUAGUCCUGGAGCUGGGGGUUCCCAAUAAUAAGGCCUCGAAAAUGCAGAUGUGGAAGCAAAGAUCUCCCUUCUUCUUCUUAACUCUUUUUUUUCCUCUCUGCAACCAAAGACAGGAAGUCCUAGCUCUUUUUUUGUGUGUGGAGGGAGCAGUACCAAGGAUUGAACUCAGGGGCACUAGACCACUGAGCCACAUCCCUAGUUCUAUUUUGUAUUUUAUUUAGAGACAAGGUCUCACUGAGUUGCUUAGCACCUUGCUUUUGUUGAGGCUGGCUUUGAACUUGACAUCCUCCUGCCUCAGCCUCCUGAGCCACUGCAAUUACAGGUAUGUGCCACCGCACAUUUUUUUUAAAUACUUAAAAAAAUUUAGUUGUAGAUGAACACACAGUAUCUUUAUUUAUUUUUAUGUGGUACUGGGAUUGAACCCAGUGCCUCACACAUCUGAGGCAAGCACUGUACCACUGAGUUACAGCCUCAGCCCCUCUUAUAUCUUUUUUAAACAACUGUACAAGUAAUGCAUUCUUUUUGCAAAAUUAUCAACAGAAAACACAUGUGAGCAAUUGAAACAUAAAAAAUUAUAUUCUAUUCCCAGAUAUACUUGACAUGUAACUUUCCAGACUUUUUUUUUUUAGAUCAAGUAUUUUUAAAAAUAGUAAUUAGUAUGGGUUCUCUUGCAUAUAUUAUUUUAUAAGUUGCUUUCUUUCAUUUGAACAGAGUACCACCAUUUCAACAAAUAUUCAUCUUUCUACCUCAAAAGAUACUUCUUCCAAUUCAUUUCAAGCCUGCAGUGUUGUGGAUUUUUUUCACAGUCACUGUUCUUGCAAAGGGUUCUAAGAGCUCCUUGGUCAUUCUCCAAUAUAGACUCUAGGUUGCUCUCCAGUCACAAGAAGAUUCUACAGCAGAUAGACCAUGACAAUGUGGUUUCUAGGAACUUUUUUUUUUUUUUUAAACCAGGGCGAGUAAAUGCCAUUAUUUCCCUGGGUGUGGUAACAAAGGCACUCACUGUAUCUCCUUUUUUCUCCACCCUCCAGAAACACAUUCCAGUUUCUAUCAGUCCCAUCCAGUAGCAAGGACUUGAAGGGAUGCCUCCUUAUCUCCCUGAGCACAUGGCUCUCUGCUUAAUCUUCAUUUGUGCUCCAGACCAGCUCCAGACCAGCUCCAGCUACACUUCUCCUAGACUGUCACCAGCCUUCCUUCCUUCCUUCCUCUCCUAUUCCAACCUAUUCCGAUUCUUCUGUUGUUAGUAUUCAAAUUUUGCACUCAAAUCUCAUGAUUUGGAGCCCUUUAAGAAUGUCACUCAGAGAUGAGAAAUGUUAGCGUAUCCAAAGUAACCAAUAACUGCAGACUUUUAGUUCAUGGAUAUUUCUUGUCCAUUAUUCUAAGGGCUGUAUUUCAGCCUCCUUAAUCUAAUCUACUUUAAGUUUUACGUUUCUAGCCUGAUCUGACCCUCAAAUAUAGAUUUUCAUUCUCAUAUUCAGUCGAAGCUGCUUUCGAAAAAUAGAUAUGGCUCAGUAAACUUUUGCUAAGUUUUAGUUAGUGACUAAGUGAUUGCAUAUGCUAAGCUUAUGAAAUUUCCUAGUGAUCCUUAACUAGCCAGCACCUUGGAAAAGCAGAUUAAAGUUCUAAUUAUCCUUGACAAGGUGAAAGGGUAGAUGGGCAUUAACAAAAGAAAAAUCACUAAAGACAUUCUAUGAGUGAUUUAAUAAAGGACUAAAGAAAUACACACACACACACACACACACACAUAUAUAUAAACAGGCUACAAACUUUGACAAAAAGGGAAAUAAAUAGUACUAAGUAUGGAAAACUAAAAUAUUAUCAUUUCUAAAGCCAUUUAACAGAAUUAGUAUUCAUUUACCAUGAUUUGUUUUGCAGUUAAGAGGAUUCUUUGAGAGAUUCCACUGUUUCAAAUAUGCAUUGAGGGAGAGGCAUGUGCAAAUGGUAAAAACAGGAUCCUAAGAUCAAAAAGUUCGAAUUGCACAUAUCCUUCGUGUUAUUGAACAUAUAAGUGACACUGUCAAUACUGCAUUUCUUAGCUGACAUUUCCAAAACUGUCAGAAUAUGCAUAGGUAUUUAUGUGAACACUAUUUCCUUUAUGAGCCAGGUAAGAUGGAUAGAUGUGUUAGAAUGUGGUAUCCAAUUUACCCCUGUAUUUUUGUUUGAUAACUGAACAAAUCAACCCUGUAAUGGCCUCACUGGAAUCUAGUGGAUUCUGUUUACUAUGACUCCUGCUUUCACUUUGUUUUAAAAUAAUAAGAGGUUGAAUUUAAAAACAUUUUUUUCCUUUGUCAUAGAUGGACACAAUACAUAUAUUUUAUUUAUUUAUUUUUAUGUGGUGCUGAGGAUCUAACCCAGAGCCUCACACAUGCUAGACAAGCGCUCUACCACUGAGCUACAGCCCCAGCCCCUCGAAGUUUUGUAUUUUGGUAAAUCAGGAAAAUAGACAGUACACAGGAUAAAGAACAAUUCAUACAUUAGGGGUUUUAGGAGAAAAUGAGUGAAGUCAAUCUAAGCAAUAAAAAUGAACAGGAUUGAAAUCAGAGCAUUGUUGGUAUUUAAAUUUGUUAGGUUUAUACUGGUUUGGGUUUGUUUGGGUUGUUUAGGAUUUUGUUUAUAUUGUAGAGCUUGGAACAAAUAAAUUCUAGGGAAUUUUUUUCACAUGACAGUAGAGUAUAUUUUGAAAUAUUGUACAUACAUAGAAUAAGUUAAGUAUAACUUGUUCCAAUUAGGAUCUUUAGGGAUUUUUUUUUUUUUUUUUUUUUUAGAGAGAGAGGAGAGUGAGAGAGUUUUUUAAUAUUUAUUUUUUAGUUUUCGGCGGACACAACAUCUUUGUUUGUAUGUGGUGCUGAGGAUCCAACCUGGGCCACAAGCAUGCCAGGCGAGCGCGCUACCGCUUGAGCCACACCCCCAGCCCCUCUUUAGGAAAUUUUUAUAGGACUGAGUUUAAAAAACUUUUUCAAAAAUCCCCUUCUCUAAAUUGCUACCUUUAAGUAUUUCCUUUAAGCUAAUUAAUGCUUUAAUUUGGUGUCAUUCUAGUUAUUUUAGUGUGCAAAAUGUUCCUAAUACAGGUUCCUACAUAUAUGAAAUACUCAAGAAGUAUUUUUUAAUUGUUUUACUGGGCAUUCUAAUUCUUAGGUUUAAUGUAAAGUGUCACAUACAUGGAUUGUGCUCAGACUCCUGAUUUUCCAUUCAAUUUUUUUUUUUUUGCUUCUAAUUAGUGAAUUUACUGUACUGUGAAGUGCUACCUAGAAUUUACCAGUAGAUGUGCAAGGAACCACUAUGUAAUAAUUAAAAAAAAAAAAAAAAACCUAAGAACUACUAUUUAAACUUGAUAUGCACAUUUCAGAAGACCUAUUAAUUCCUAACUAAGGUUUAGAAUAGCUCAUACCAGUGUACCAUCACAUAGUUUAUAUUGCAUGUUUUACUUGUUGAUAGCCCACAAGGCCAUUUGUUCUAGUAUUUGCUGAGGAAAGACUCUGGCAUGCUUCUGUGCAUGAUAGGUGUCCAGCUUUAUUACUUCAAAUCUUGAGCUAAAUGUACUACUUUAUUACUUGUAAAAUAAGGUCAUUUCAACACGUCAAAGGAAAUACCAACUUUACCAACCUUUAUAAAACGAUCAAAUUCAAAGUUAUUUCCUGUUACACUACUAAAACUGCUCCUGAUCAUAUUUGCAGGGAGUGUCUGAGAACCAACGAGAACUUGGUCUGCAGCAUUAGCAGGUGGUAUCCUCGUGGUGCCCUUCUCACUGGGAGCACCUAGAUUACCCUAAUAUCAAAGCUGCCUACUUUCUGAGAUCAGGAAGCCACAUGAUCCCUUCCAACUCUGAAAUCCUGUGAUCUCGAGCUAAUUUCAGAUGAAAAAACAAGUAUUGGGCCAAAAUAAAAGAGAAAAUAUGAAGCAAACAAAUGAGAGAUCAUAGAAGGGUUUUGUUAGCAGGGUUUAUUAAACUUCCUCAAAAAAAAAAUUGUAUUAUAAACUAUGAGUGUUAAAGGAAAGGUUUUGAAAAAAGACAAAAAUGAAAUCACCCCCACUUUCCCUAAGUGUGCUUAAUUUGACCAGGUGUCCAGACUUUGAUAGCACAGCAAGUCAACAGUGCUCAGCGAGGGUGACUUCCUCUGAUUCUUUACUCCUGUUAUAUUGGAUAUAAGUAUUUAAAUUCAUUAAAACAUUUACUUUUUCAAAUAUGUUGAAUUAUUGCUAUUAAAACAAUAGUCGGACACAUUAACUAGCUGCAACAUUUGGACAUAAUUUAGACUUAUACAGAAACAAUAGAACAAAAUUUAUAAGGCAUUCUGGAAAAUGUGAAAUUUUGGUUUUUGUAUUUGGUGAUGUUAAAGAAUUCUUGGUAAAUAUUUGGAUGUAUUAAUGGUGUACUUAUGUUUUUUAAAAAAUCGUGGUGUGUGUGUGUGUGUGUGUGUGUGUGUGUGUGUGUUGCCUUGUAGGUGCUAAGGAAGCACUCUACCACUAAGCUCCCCCCAGCUCUAGUCUGUGUCUUUUAAACAUACAUGCUGAAUAUUUACAGAUGAAAAACAUACUUAGGAUUUAUUUCAAAACAUGGGUGGUGUGGGAAAUGGGUGGGUCGCGAGGCCAUGGCUGGUAAAGGUGGGCAUGAGGCAGUCCAUCCUGCUUUUCCGUUUACUUUUCCUUAUGUUUAACAUUUUCCAUAGUAAAAAGAUCUCAAAAAUAACAUUUAAUAUCCAUCUGUGAGGUUUACAAAAACUAUUUAAAUAUCUCUGUUCCUUGUAAAAUGAAGCAAAAAAAAAUACCUACAAAAAUGAUUUUCUUUACAUAGAAGAAUAUGUUCUUUUCAUAAUCAUUUUCUCUUUGUACUUCGUACUCCUGAAUUUCUCUUUGCUGUUAGAAAUUUGUCAUGUGGAGCCAGGUAUGGUGGUGCACACCUGUAACCCUAGCUACUCUGGAGGCUGGGGCUGGAGGAUCACAAGUUCAAGGCCAGUUUGGACAAAUUAGCAAUACCCUGUCUCAAAAUUUAAAAGGCUGGGGAUGUGGCUCAGUGGUACAGUGCUUGCUUAGUAUGUGUGAAGCCCUGGACUUAGUCCCCAGUACCAAGAAAAAAUAUUGUCACAUGGUAUGAAAAGAAAGCCAGGGGAAUAAGGAGUCACUUUAUUGAAUCCAAAAUUAAUUGUUUUUUAAUUUUUUGGGGGGGUGGGGAUACUGGGUUUGGAACUCAGGGGCACUCAACCACUGAGCCACAUCCCCAGCCCUGUUUUGUAUUUUAUUUAGACACAGGGUCUCACUGAGUUGCUUAGCAUGUCACCUUUGCUGAGGCUGGCUUUGAACUUGCGAUUCUCCUUCCUCAGCCUCCAGAGCUGCUGGGAUUACAGGCGUGCACCACUGCACCUGGCUAUUUUGUUUAUUUUUAUGUGGUGCCAACAAUCAUACCCAGUGCCUCACAUGUGCUAAGGCAAGCACUCUGCCACUGAGCUACAGCCCCAGCCCCCAGAAUUAAUUAUAUUUAACUCCUUUGCUCUUCUUCCCACUCCAACCUGCUAGAGUUUAUUUUUUUAGGGGAAGAAGAGGGGUAGCACUGCCAACCUAUUACAUUAUAGAGUUACCAUUCCACUGGUUCUACAUGUUGUCAUAACCAUUGCAUUUAUAGAAAUAUACAGAAUGUACGGAAAAUAUUUAGUUAUUCUCUGUAGUUCAGGUUUUCAAUUCAUUCUCUCUGGAGGUCAAUAUUUUAAUUACUGAAACUCCAUGGUUUUUCUUGCUAAAAUAGCCACUACAUUUUUAGGGGAAAUAAGUGCAAUUCCUCAAUAUCAUGAAUAGUAUGUGAAAGUGAUAAUUUUUGUAAAGCUCAAAAUAUUAAUAAAGUUGACCACUACCUUGCCAGAUUUCAUGAACUCUGAAGAGCUGUUUAAGAUUUAAAAUUGUUUAAAACUGGGAAAAGAAGAUCUGAAACUAAAAACUGUAAAGCGGUAUGCUUGUAUUGGAAGAUUGCAAAAAAGAGCAACUAAAAUGUUCAAUAAAAUGUUCUACUUCCCAGCCCUAUGAUAUGAUUCAUUACGCAGACUUAAAGAUAACCACGUUGCAAACCUUUUGGGCCAGGACUUAGGAAGACCUCACUUCCACUAAUGCAGUGCACUUGGGGAUGGAGUUUUCUGGUUAAGUUGAAGGUUAUGAAAAGCAGACUUUUCCUGCCCCUCCAGGCUCUGCCUUUGUAUCUCAGCUCCUCUCUCCUCCCCGCUGUGCAGCCAUUCACUGGCUUCAGAGCUCACUUUCUAAAAGACAAAUGGGAUCAUCCUUCCCUGGCUUCAGAAACUCCAGUGUGGCCGCAUGCUUCACUUGUGAGUCCAAAUUGCCUUAGUGUCGCAUCCACAGUCAGGCUUCUAGAUUGAUCCUCUAACACUUCAGUAGAGAGCUGUGGGCUCCAGCACGCCGGGCUCUUGGCUGGUCCCAGGGAGUGCUGUGCUUUUCCUAAUCCCCUGUUAUGUCCAGCGCUCUGUUCUCUCUGCCUGGAAUGGUUUUCCUCCUCUUCCGUCUCACAUCUUCUAAGACCCAGCUGACCCCCAUCAUGGAGGCCUCUCCAGACCUGGCCAGUUGUGCCUUCCUCUGUUUCACAGACAUUCUUCAUCAAGUCACAACUUUUUCUAUUAUAUUAUAACUAUUUAGGGCUGUUUAGCACCUCUUCUGUUGAUUGAUUCAGUCAAUCAUUCAUGCAUUUAUGAGGUGUUAACUGAAUGUUCCAGGCACUCUGUGUGGUACUGUAGAUAGAAUGAUAAUUAAAAUUGUCACUAUCUUUGCCCUCUGUUAGUGAAAGACACAUAUUUUAAAUAAAAAAUGGCAACAACCCUCCCCGAAAAAAAAUAAGGCAAGCCAAAGUGCAACAGGUGUGUCCUGCAGUUCCAGUCACUCAGGAGGCUAAGGCAGGAAGACCACUGGAACCCAGGAGUUGAGGCCAGCACAGGCAACACAAUGUGACCUAUAUAAUCACCACUGUGACAUUUGUGAAGGUAAGAUCUCUAAUCAGUACCCAUCCUCUGUCUCCCCACCACUCCACUAAUACAAAAAACAGUGCCUCACACCUGAGAGCAACUGAAAAAAAUGGUUAAAGGAGUGAAUGAUAGCUGGGCAUGGUGGCACAUGCCACAAUACUGGCUACGGGGACUGAGGCAAGAAGGGUUGCAAGUUCAAGGCCAGCCUGAACAAUUAGCCAGACCCUUUCUCCAAAUGAAAACUGGCAAAAGGCCUGGGGAUGAUGAAUCUCAGUAGUAGAGCACCCCUAGGUUCAAACCACAGUACCCACACACAGAAAAAGGAGAUGAUAAGUAUGUAGCCAUAUGUGAACUACAUGUUUUUUUUUAUAUUAAACUUUUUAGUUUGAAAUAAUUGUAGAUGAUUCACACAGUUAAUAAAUAAAACAGAGAGAUCCCAUGUACCGAUUACUUGAUUUCCCCAACAAUAACAGAGUGCAGUAUCAUAACCAGGAUAUUGAUAUUGCUACAAUUUUCUGGUCUUGUUUGAGUUUCUUGUUUUAUAGUCUGUGUGUGUGUGUGUGUGUGUGGGUCUAUAAAUUUUUCUCAUGUGCAUCUAUACCACAGUCAGGAUUAGGGCAGUUCUAUCACUAGACUGCGUCACCAUACCUACUUCCUUCUCAUCUCCCAUCCCCCACCAUCUGUCAUUAACCCCUUGGCAAUUGCUGAUCAGUUCUCUAUGUUCAUAAUUUUGUCAUUUCAAAAAUGUUAUAUAAAUGGAUAAAUAUAGUGUGAAACCUUUAGGAACUGACAUUUUUUCACUCAGUAAAAUUCUCUAGAGAUUUAUCCAAGUUGUUGUAUGUAGCAAUAGUUAUACCAUUUUAUUGCUGAGUAGCAUUUCAUAGGAUGGAUGGAUGAUAAUUUAUUUACUCAUUUAUCCUCUGAAGGACAUCUGGGUGUUUCCACCUUUUGAUUAUUGAGAACAAAGCUUCUAUGAACAUUUAUGUGCAAGUUUUACUGGGAGCAUAAACUUCCAUUUCUCUGGGAUACAUGCCUAGGAAUGCAGUGGUUUGAUCAUGUGGAAAUUGCAUAUUAAGUUCGAUAAAAAACUGCCAUACUGCACCAUUUCACAUGUAAAAGAAAGAUGGAAGAAAGAACUAGUUUCUCAUGGCCUCACUGGUAUAUGGUGUUGUCACUAAUUUUUUUUUUUUUUAAUUUUAGCCAUGCUGAUAGGAAUGCAGUAAUAUCUCAUUGUAAUUUAUCUGUUUUUGUGGUCCUGGGGGUUGAACCCAGAGCACUCUAUCACUGAGCUACAUCCCUUCCCUUUUUCAUUUCUUUAUUUUGAGACAGGGUCUCACUAAGUUGCCCAGGUUGGCCUCCAACUUACAAUCUUCCUGCCUCAGCCUCCCAGGUGACUGCGUGUCACUGCACCCUGGUCCACUGUAGUCUUAAUUUAUUUUCCUAAUGGUUAUUGAAGUUGAACAUCUUUUCAUGUGCUUAUUUUUCAUUCGGAUGUCCUCUUCAGUGAAAUUUCUACAUACAUCUUUUUCUGAUUUUCUAAUUGGAUUUUUUUUUUUGCUUUUAUAUAGUGUUGAGUUUUGAGAGUUCUUAUUCUACAUACUAACCCUUGAUUAAAUAUGUCUUUUGUAAAUAUUUUCUCUGUCUGUAGCUGUCUUUUCAUUGUUUCAUGUGUGUUUUGCAGAACAAGGGUUUUAAAUUUUUAUUUGGUACAAUUUACCCGUUUUUGUUUUUUUCUUUAAUGAGCUCAUAGUUUUGAUGUUAAGUCUAAGAAUUACCUGUUGCUAGAUCCCAAAGAUUUUUUCCUAUUUUUGUUCUAAAUACUUUAUAAUUGAUGUUCAUAUAUUUUAACUGUAAUAAUUUGGGGUUAAUUUUUUAUAGACAUGAAGUUUCAAUCAAGGUUUAUAUUUUUUGCUUAUGAAGGUCCUAUUGUGCUAGCAGCAUUUGUUGAAAAGGUGUCCUUCCUCCAUUAGGGACUCCUUUGUCAAAAAUCAAGUGGGUGUAUUUGUGUGUAUCUGAUUCUGAGUUCUCAUUCUGUUCAAUUGGUCUAUGUAUCUGUCUCCACCAGCACCAUACUGUCUUGAUUACUAAUGCUACAUAGUAAGCCUUAGAAUUGGUUCAAACAAUCCCUGAUAUCUAGUCUUCAUUUCAGAAAUGUCCAGUUAUUCUAGUUCUAUUGUCUUUUCAUUUAAAUUUUAGAAAAAGCUUGCCUAUGUAUACAAACAUCUUUACUAGGAUUUGGAUUGAAAUUGCUUUAAAAUAAUCGAUCAAUUUGGGGAGAAUUGGCAGCUUUUCUGUGUUGAGGCUUUUGAUCUGUGAAUGUGGUGUCUCUUCAUUUGCUUAGGUUUAUUUCUUUCGUCAACAUUUUCUGAUUAUCAGCAUGCAUAUUAUGUAUGUGUUUUGCUUUUGGUUUUUCUUGUGUUGCUACAGAUUGAACCCAGGGCCUUGAGCUAGCUGCUAGGCAAGGACUCUACUGCUGAGCUAUCCCAGCCCCUAGGUACAUGUUUGUUAAGUUUAUAACUAAGUGCUUAAAUUUCUUUGGAGUGAUCAUAAAUGGUAUCAUCCAAAAUUUUCAGUUUUUGCAUGCUUAUUAUUAGUAUAUAGAAAUGAUUUUUUAUGAGUUUAUCUCAUAUCCUGUGACCUUCUUCAACCCACCUAUUAAUUCUAGUGUUUUCAGACAUCUUUGAGAUUUUCUUUGUAGUAAAUUGUUAUAUGCAAAUAGGGACAGUUUCAUUUAUUGUUUCAAAAUCUGCAUGCUUUUUUUUUCUUUUUAGUUUUUAUUUAUUUGGUUUUUGUUUUGUUUUGUUUUUUGCCUAAUUGCCCUGGCUCAGACUUCCAAUACAAUGUUGAAUACAAGUGUCAAGAGCAGACACCCUUAUCUUGUUCCUGCUCAUAGGUGGAAAGCAUCCAAAUUUUCACCAUGGAAUACUGUGAAUCUGAUAUGAUAAUCCAAUGUUAUCAUUUUUUGUAGCUGUUCUUUAUCAAGUUGACGUCAUUGUCUUGUGUUCUUUACUUGCUGAGAGUUUGUGUGUGGGUUUGGGUGUGGAUGUUCUGCAUCAGAUGAAGUGAUCAUAUGAGUUUUCAUCUUUAGUCUGUGGAUGAGGUGGAUUACAUGAGUUGAUUUUCAAAUACCGAACCACUCUCACAUACUUUAAAUAAAUUCCUCUCCUUUAUGGUCUAUAAUUAUUUUGAUAGAGUGUUGGAUUAAAUUUGCUGAUAUUUUGUUGAAGUUUUUUUGGGUUUGGGUUUUUUUGGGUUUAUUUUUAGUUUUUUUGCAGUACGGAACUAGACCCAGGGCCUCACAAUGCCAGGCAAGUGCUUUACCACUGAGCUACCCCCACCCCAGCUCAGUAUUUGUUGAGGAUUUUUAUGUCUAAGUCCAUGAGAGGUUAUUAGUUUGUAAUUUUCUUUCUUCCUUUUUUCUCUCUCUCUGUACUGUCUUUGUUUAGUUUGGGUUUCAUGGUGAUAGUGACCUCAUGAAAUGAGUUGGAAAGAGUUCCCUCCUGUUUUCUGAAGAAGAUUGUGCAAAUCUAAUAUAAAUUCUUUGAAUAUUUGGUCAAAUUUUCCAGAAAAGACAGUUGGGCUGGGAUUUCUCUUUCAGGAGGCUUUUCAUUACAAAUGUAAUUUGUUUCAUGGUUAUAGGAUUAUUCAAAGUAUCUAUUUUGUGUUGGUGGAUUUUUUUUUACAUUAGUAGUUUCUAAGUUGUCAUAUGUGAGAACUAAAUUAUCAAAUUUGUUAGUUGUUCUGGUAAUCCCUUAUUGUCCUUUUAAUGGCUAUAGGAGCUGUAAUAUCUCCUGUCUCGUUUCUGAUAUUAGUGAUUUAUUUAUUCUAUCUUAUCGUAACUUUAUUUUACUGUGACAAGAACUGUUAGCGUGAGAUCUUUUGACUCUCCAUUUCUUCCUACCCCUGGCAAACUUUGCUUCUUCAAGUUCAAAUAUUGUAUUGCCUCUGCUUUUGAUCAUUUCAGAUGCUUCAUAUAAGGGGAAUUGCAUAAUAUUUGACAUUCGGUACCUGGCUUACUUCACUUAGUGUGAUGUCCUCAAAGUUCACCCACCUUGUCACAUACUCAUGGAUGCCUCCUGUUUUGUUUUUUUUUUUUUUUUCUUUUUCUGUUUUUCCUUUUUCAGUACUGAGGAUGGAACCCUUUAACCCAGGGGCACUAUGUGUGAGUGUGUGUGCGCGUGCGCACAUGUGUGUCCAUGCAUGUUCACAUGUGUAUUCAUGUAUACAAUUUUUAAAAAAUCUAUUAAUCUAUUUUGGCACCCAUAGAAUUUUCACAUCUUAGCUAUUUUGAAUGUUGCUGCAAUAAUCGUGGAAUUGCUAGUAUCUCUUCAAGAUCCUGAUUUUAGUUCUUUGGGGCAAAUAUCCAGAAGCAGGGGUUGGGGUUGUGGCUCCGUGGUAGAGCACUCACCUAGCCCGUGUAAGGUGCUGGAUUCAAUCAUCAGCACUACAUACAAAUAAAUAAAUAAAGGUAUUGUGUUAAAAAGAAUCCAGAAGUGGAUUGUUAAAUCAUAUGAUUAGUCUAUUUUUAACUUAUUGAGGACAAUAUGCAUAUUGUCUUUUUAUUUUAGUCAAAAAGAUUUAUCAAUUUUAUUGUUUUUUUCCCACAGAGCAGUUUUUAUCUAUAUUUUUUCUUCUGUUUUCAAUGUUAUACAUUUCUGCUUUUGUUGUAUUAUGUCCUUCCCACUGUUCACUUUGGCUUUUUUCCCAUUGUUUUCUAGGUGGAAGCAGAUUAUUGAGACCUUUCUUAAGGUAUUUAUUUAGGGCUAUACAUUUUCCUUUUGGUGCAGCUUUAGUUGCAUUCCACAAAUUUUGAUAUGCUGCAUUAAUCAUUUUCAUUCAGGUCCGUGUUUUUUUAAUUUCCUUUGAGACUUUUUAAUUCAUGCAUUAUUUAGAAAUGUGUUGAUUUCUAAAUAUUUGUAGAUUUCCGUCUUGUCUUUCUGUUAUUUCCAGUUUGAUUUCAUUAUGACUUAAAAACAUAUUCUUUAUGAUUUUUAGUUGGCUUACAUUUGUUGAAGUUUGUUGUUUUCUGCCUGAGGUUUGGUUUAUCUUGGUGAAUGUUCCAUGACAGUUGAUAAGAGCCUGUGUUCUGCUAUUGUUGGAAAGAGUGUUCUGUAAAUGUCAUAUAGAUCCUCUUGGUUGAUGGUAUUGUUUAAUUAGUUUAUCUUUGCUAACGUUUUGGUCUGGUGAUUUUAUUAGUUGCUGAGGGUGGGGUGUUAAAUACCCCAAGUAGAAGUGUGCAUUUCUCUAUUCUUUUAACUCUAUCAGUUUUUUAAAUUAAUUAAUUUACUUAUUCUAACUUGUUAUAUAUGACAGCAGAAUGCAUUUUGAUUCAUAGUACACAAAUGGAGCACAAUUUUUCAUGUCUCUGGUUGUACACAAAGUAGAGUUACACCAUUCGUGUCUUCAUACAUGUACUUAGGGUAAUGAUGUCCAUCUCAUUCUACCAUCUUUUCUACCCCCCAGGUCCCCUCCCUUCCCCUCUCUCCCCUCCAAAGUUCCUCCAUUCCUCCCACAUCUAUCAGUUUUUGUUUUGUGUAUUUUGAAGCUAUUUUUGGAUGCAUGCAUCUUUAAGAUUACUAUGUCUUAGUGACUGAUCCUUCUGGGUAACAUCUUUAAUGUCCUGAGUAAUUUUCUUUUCCCUGAAUCCUACUCUAUCUGAUAUUUAUGUAACUACUCAUGCUUUUUUAAGUUCAAGUUUGCAUGAUCUUCUUUCCAUUCUUUUAUUUUCAUUCUCCUUAUGAUGUUACUUGUGAAUUGAGUUCGUCACAUUCUGCGUAUUGUUUUGUGGCGCAUUUUUAUGCACUCGGCCAGCUCCUGUCUUUUAUGGUAGCCUGGUUUAAAAUCUUUUUUUUUUUAAUAUUUAUUUUUUAGUUGUAGUUGGACACAGUACCUUUAUUUAUUUUUAUAUGGUGCUGAGGAUCGAAUCCAGGGCCUUGCACAUGCUAGGCGAGUGGUCUACCGCUGAGCCACAACCCCAGCCCUGAUUUAAACUCUUUAUCAGCUCCAAUAUCUGAUUCAUUUCAGUAAGUUGGCAUUCAUUGAAUGUCUUCACAUUCAAGUUGUGGUUUUCCUAGUUCUGGAUAUGACAAGUGAUUUUUAAAUUUUUAAAAAGUAUUCAUCCUGAAUAUUGUGGAUAUUAUUUUUUCAACUAUUGAUCCUCUGUCUUUUACUUAGCCAGCUAGUUGUCCUAUUUUAGGUUUAAUGUGUGACCCUCCGCUCCGUGGGUAGUAGGUUCAAGGGCAAUUUAGUUUUUGAGUGUUCUUCUCAAUGCUGUUUUAGUCUACUUUGUUGUUCUGGCUGUACCUGAGCUUCCCCUGGAUCCCUGCUGGUGCCAUCAAUAAAGGCAGAUGGCACUUCCCUGGUCCUCCUGGGCUUCCCAUUGUCAAUAGUAGAGGGGUGAAUGGUGGUUCCCCUGGAUUUUCCAUGCCAGCUCUUAUAGUGCCAGGGAAAAGGGAACCACCUACCUGUACCACCAUCUGCCACUGCUGCUGAAGAGCAAGUAGCCAAGGGGUCUGGGUGGCUCUCGCUGCUGGGUAGAGAGCAGGUAACCCUGGGCCUGGUUCACCUUCUGCUGAGGGGGAAAGACUGGGAGAUGCCUGGUCUGAAUUAUAUUUUGCCAGUGAGUGGAUGGCCAGGAAUCACCAGUUUGAGGUGGUUCCCUGUUACUGGUUUGAAGACUGGGAAACAUUAUACCUCCAGGCAUAACUAGGGUGUGUGGCAGGGCGUGCCUGCCAUCACCUGAUGGGAGACAAGAAUGGGGGUCCAUCUGCCCAGGUUCCACGGGUUGCCUCUUCUGCAGCAGAUAGCUCCUGCCGAUGCCCCUGGAAUAUGGGUUUCCCUAAGACACUGCUGCGCUUCUCCUUCUGCAUCCUUGAUGAGAGAGAGCAGACUUUUUUUUUAAAACCUGUUUUUUUGUGUGCCAAUUGGUGGUUCAGGGGUGCAGAUCUUUCUCAUGCUGAGUCUGGGAUAUAAAGGAGAUAAAGUAAAACCCCUGGGAACUAGUCAAGGUGUCUACAUCCUGAGGUUCCUGGCCAGGCUACUUCUUCUUUCUGCAGUUCAGAAUCCUUCUGAUUGUCUAUUGAAUUAUUUCCAGGUUAUUGUUAUGUUUAGAGGGGAGGAAUGGGGAAUAUAAGCCAGCUUGUUGUGGAACCAGAAACCUAUAUAGAUUUUUGAAGAAGAGGAAUAUUAAUUAAUUAACACUAAACAAUACUGAAAUAACUGAGGUUCUUAUAGUGUAUCUGCUGCUUCAGGAUUUUGGGGGAUCUGGGUCAUCAUUCUGUAUCUUUUAAUCAAAGUAACUUUAUUAAAAGAAGUACAUACAAAGGAUAUUUUAAGUAUGAAACUUAGAAGGGUGUUUGUUAGGGUUUGUUGGCUUUCUUUCUGUUUUCCACAAAUAGCAUAGAAAAUGGUGAGUUUACAAAACACAUUUUUCUUAUCCAAAGAUUUCUCCAGUUUUUAGUAUAACAAAUCUGGAGUUCCUCCAGCCUCUCAGUUCUUUCUCUACAAGUUGAGGUACAGUAGCCUCGUCAGCAUUGUGUGUCUCGUGGAAGUCCAAGGUGCUCCCUAGUCCUUCCCAACACGAGCCCCUCCACCCCAGGGUCAGUUUUCACAUGCAGUGUAGAGUAGAGCAGGAGCUUUAGUUGAAUUUGUGAUGAUCAGUUGUUGUAAUCCAUAAAUUAGUAAUAUCCAUUCAUUUAGUAUUUAUCUUGGUUUUAUAGAAGUAGAGCUCAAUUUUUAAAAAUCUUAUUUUACAUUUUCUGGUUAUAUGCAUUAGUUCAGAUGAGAAUUUAGUGUGCUUGGUGAUUUCAAAUGGUUAAUUUAAAUGAAGGAAUCAUUUCAUACACCAUUGUGUAAGAGAGGAUGCAUGCAGUUCUGUUUUUAGAAAAUUAUAUCAUAAAGCUGUUGGGGAUGACUAAUUGACCUAAUGGUAGCAUCGUUUCUCUCUGUGAACUCUAAAGAAGGAAUACACCAAAAAGGAAAAAAAAAUCUGUUUAGUCUUUAUUUAUUAAUUUUUAUCUAACUAUAGCCUUAUGGGAAAAAAGAAGUACAAAGUAUGUGGGUGCUACUGAGGUGUUGGUUGGCCUACAAAUAGAGUAUAAGGUUUUAUGUAGUGACACCUUAAAAAAAAGUGGCUAAUUUUUUAAAUUUAUUCAUUUAAAAUCUAUUGAUUGAUUGAUUGAUUUUGUGAGGGUCUCACUAAGUUGUAUAGGGCUAUGCUAAGUUGCUGAGGCUGGCCUCAAACUUGUGAUCCUCCUUAGCCUCUUUUGUUGCUAGAAUUAAUGCACCACCAUGCCUGGCUGUGACUUUUAAUUUUUUAAGUUAAAAAAAAAAAAAAAGAUCCUACAGGGCAGGUUUAUUGCUGAAAAAUGGGACAGGGGGAAUGACUGAAGAGUAUCUGAGAAAAGAUAAAUUGUUAAAACCAAAGUAUGAGAAAAUAAAGUAUCAUAUAGUGGAACAUGAAGGCCGCAUGGGGUGAGGGUGGAUAGCAAGAAGAAAAUCCAUAAAGAAAGAUUAUCUGUGGUUUUUAAGAAAUAAGAAAUUAGUAUUACUACUAAUUAUAAAUACUAGAAAUUCUUCCUAAUUUUUUAGAUUUCAUAGAUUUUAAAAAUAAAUAUAUUCUUUCAUAAUGUGAUAAUUGUACCUUCCUAGAUUUCAAAAUGCCCUUACUUACUAGUAGCUCAUUGUAUUUGGUUGCAGUUAUAAAGCACCUUUACAUGCUUAUUUUAAAAUUUGGUCCUCAAGAUUACCAUAAGGUUGCCAUUGUGGUGGUGCACACCUGUGAUCCCUGCAACUGGGGAGGCUGAGACAGGAGGAUCCUAAGUUCGAGGCCAGCCCCAGCCACUUAGCAAGACCCCAUCUCAAAAUAAAUAAAAUGGACUGGGGAUGUAGCUCAGUGGUAAAGUGCCCUCGCAUCCUGUCCCCAGAACAACAACAAAAAAAAAUUACUAUUAAAAUCGGAUAGUAUUAUCCCCAUUUUACAAUAAAUGAUAGACCUAGCAUCCCAGGGUUACCACGUGUUGCAUCCGGGGGCAGCACCUAGCUCUUUGCUUCCUAAUUCAGCAUGGUAUUAUUUUCUGGAACUCCAAGCUGUCUACUUGGUACAUUCAUUCCCUUUCUACAUUAAUUUUCUUAUCAAAAGUACAUUAUACUUCAUUCUGAAGGAAAUGGAAUUGAAUUCCAAGGUAUUUUAUAUUCUCUAGUAGUUGCUCUUCUAGAAACUACCAAUCAUAUGUAGUGCAGGAUGUUCAUGAAUUUCCCCCCUUACAAAAAAAUGAGGCUAUUUUAGACCUUUGUGUACCAUACCUAGACCUUUGCUUGACUUGUUUUCCUCUUGGUUUUGGUAGUGGCAGCUAGGCCCAGAAGAGAUCAAUUCCAUAUUCUUGUUCUUCAUACCAAAGGAAACAGAUGUCUCAUUUUUAGGAGGUCUGUGUCCGUGUCAGACUUAGGAACCUCAUGAGAUGACUGUAUACUGUCUAGCCAGGGAGCAUGGCUGACCAAGGCUGCUUUCUGCAGCUCUCUAUCCCUUUCAAGCUUUCCUACUCCCAUUUUACCUUCUUUCCUCUUUUUUUCCCCUUUCCCUUUUUUCCUUUUUGAACUUUUAAAAAAUCUUGGCUUCCUCUCUGUUUUUUCUUAUGCACUAACCCACUUAAAAUGUAAGGACCAGCUGUCGUCUUCUGUAAUCCAAAGGAGCUGCCAUGCAGGGUCCUUCCCUCUGUGGCAAUUUCCUCUUUGCCCAACUCUCACAUGGGCCCUGGUCUCCACCACACUGACACGCAUCUUAACCAGAGGGCUGGCACCUGGGUUGUGGCACUGUAGUUUGGGUCAAGAAUCUGAACACUACCUAAAAAAGCAUAAGGCUGCCUUGACACACUUAUUUAUUAAUCACUUUAAUAGACAAAUAAAAACAUAAAAUUGUAUAUAUUUAUGGGGUGCCCCGUGACAAGGCAUAUUUGAAAGUUCAUUUGGAAACUAGGCACUUUUUUCUAUCCCCAGUAGAUCUAUUUAGUGUUAGAAUAUAUAAAAAUAUAUACUGCUCUUCUUUGUAGACAGGAAAAGGGGAUAAAGACUUUUCUGAUUAAUAUCACCUAAGCAAACUACUCUGAAAUAGUUUUAUUCUUGGUUGAAUAAUCUUCCCAUUUGAUUAUGAUCUUUACAUUUAUUUUCUCAUCUGUUAUUCUGACUUUUCAUAGUGAAGGUUUUAUUUUGUUUUGUUUUCCCUGUUGGCCUCUCUAGAGAGAAAUAAUUUGUGAAGAAAAGGGACAGGAAAUGAGAGUUUAGAUUUUAUUCUAGGACUUUUGUCAUUAUUUUCUAGAAAGCACACACCAUUAAAUACCUUAUAUGUUUUUCUCUCAAAAUAUGGAAAAUAUCAAAUAUUUCUCUGUGUUGUUGUCUACCCAGAGUUUUGACUUAAUGCCAGUGACUGAUAGUGUAUUGUCAUUCUUCUGUCACAUUCAUGACAGAUAAAAGCAAAUACCCAAUUGAUCUACCUUGUAUUUCUGGUUAGCCACAUACCAGUGUUCCCCUUUUAAAUCAUGGUGGGAGUAGUUGUAGGCAGAUACUUAUGCAAAUCUUUAUUGCAUUUUUUUUUUUUUUUUGCCAGUAUCACCUCAGAUAACUUGUCAUGGAUCCAUGUGUGGAAAUAUCAAAAUUCAGGGACUAUUUGUGUUCCCAGGACCCUUGUUUUCAUUUUGCUUUGCAGUAGUUAGUUGAAUGCUACUUCCCAUUUUUAAAGGGCAGAGAGAAUGCCCUUCUCGAAUGUCUAAGUCCUAGAAUAUAGAAGAUUUUUUCCAUCUGCCAGCCCCAUUUUUUUUUUUUUGAGGGUCUUGCUUAGUUGCCCAAGCAGACCUUGACCUUGUGAUCCUCCUACUUCAGCCUCCCAAGUAGCUGGGAUUAUAGGUGUGCACCACCAUGCCUAACUCAAGUUUUGUGUCUUGAUGUAAAGAGCAUACAGAAAAUGACUCAUGAUGUAGAAUACAGUCUUGUUGCUCACCAUGAUUCUAGCAAAUGUUUAACAUUAAUCUUAGUCGUUUCUUUUUUUUUUUUCCUUUUUUCUGUUUUUAUAUUUUUUGAUUGUAUUCUGAAAUAAAUGGGGUUUUUUUGUAUGUUGCUGGAUUUUUAAAAAUUGAGAAUAAAUUUGAAUUGCUUUGGAAUUUAGUUCUUGGGACACAGAAUCCUGGUACUUCCAUAUUAAUUCUGGAGAAAAUAGUCUGAGUUCCAGUAACCAAAUCACCAUUCCUUCUAGAACCAGCCAUUACACGUCACAUAGUGUUUGAAGUUUCAAGGUCCAAAUAUCGAUGUUGUAUAAUUUAGCCUGUCAGUUGUGUUUAUUACUCAUGAAUUGUCUCCGGCCUUUGCAUUAACUGACCUCCCUCCCUCAAAUACUUUUUGGUGUCUCUGAGACUUUCUUACCUCCUGUCCUCAAGAAACUGGGUUAAAUAUCUUUUAUAAGCACUACACUACUCUGUUACUGCCUGUAUUUCAGGCUUGCUUUCUCACUAGAUCUAAUCUCUUUGAGGACAAGACCUUAGCAUGUUCACGAUUAUUAUCUUUGCUAUUUGGCAUGAAGCCUGGCACAUCAUAGAUAUUAAAUAAGUAUAUGCGGAAGGAAUGGAUAAAAUUACAGGGAAAAAAUUGUUACUUAGUUUCAUAUUUCUUCCAAAUUUAAAAGCCACUAUAAAUCCCUUAUGCCAAAAUAUCCACUUGUUAUCUUGAUUAACAUAUACUUCUUUAUAUAAGUGGAAAGUUUCAAUUAUUUGGUUACAUUUUGAAUUUGGGACUAGCAAAAUGGGUUCUUUAGUGAGAGACCUCUAGUUUCCCUUGAAGAAAAAAAUUUGUAGCUCAUCUACCCAGAGGAGAUAAUUAGCAUCACAUGUUACUCAUUAAUGUAAAUUUCUGAAAUAGCUGUACUUAUUUAAAAAAAAAAAACAUGCAGAGUUUUUGUACUCUAGUUGUAGAGCUUUGAACUUGAGGGGGAAGCAGGGUCCUGUGCUCCAUGCCCAUGUAAGUAAACUUGUAAUGUAAAGAUUCCGUUAAUUGUUUCUUCUGUAGACUGCAAGGUCCCUGAGAGUAGGCUUUGUGUCUCUUGUGUUUCUGUUUGCCACCUAGCACAAACUCUGGUUAUUUUAGGAACUCAAUAAUGAUAUGUUGAAUAAAUUUUGGAAGAAGAAAUACUAGAGUGGAGGUCUUUGAUCUGCAUGUGCCCUGUGAAUGGUAGAAUGCAUCACAACCAAUUUAAUAGGUGGAAGUUACUGUCUACAUGUCAUAUGCUUUCUGAAAAUGAGUUAAAAAUAUCCUAUUGGGGUUGGGAAAAUCACAGUUUGGGGGUUUGUUUUACAUACUGUAUCAUACUUUCAGUUAAAGUGGGUUUAAAAUUAAUCCAUACAGAUCAAAUGGACUUUUCAAAUUUCAUCUAGCAAAAGGAAUUGAGAAAGAUGGUGUUUGUGGCCUCUAAGUAGAUCUUUAUUCUGGAAGACCUAAGAUAAAAACUCUAAAUUCCAAUAAUCCUGAGGCUUAUUUGUGAGAAUUAUAUUUUAAGAUUUUUAUAGAAGUUCCUCUUCUGCCAGAAAGGAAACUUGAGUUUGAGAACCAGUCUCCAAGGACUGGAGAGUGAAUGAACUUAACUCUGUCUUACUCGGAUUGAUUUCAGUAUUUUUGGCAGAAGAUCAAAAUAGCUUACACAUAGCAUUUCCAUGAAUGUUUGAACCUUUUCCUUCACUAUUAUUAUUUCUCAACACAUGUAAGUGUUUUUCUUUCAAAGUGACACAUGCUUAUGUUAUAUAAACAACUGGUUCAGACUUGUUUAGACUUUAGCUUUCAUGCUAUGAUUAGAAAGUUAAGAAAUUAAACUUUCUCUAGUCCUGGUUCUCAGCCUUUUCAGAACAUCAGCUUUUCUGUAAAAUUGGAAUAAUAGUGACAACGACUUGUGAUUCAUGGGGGAAUUAUUUGAUAGCAGGUACAUAAAACCUCCAUCGAAGUGACUGUAUUGCAGAUGAGGGUGAGAGGGUGGAGUCAGCCAUGGUUUUUAUAUUAAAACCAGAUGGAGAGACUGAGUUAGGUAUUUGGCUUGCUUGCUUGCUUGUUUUUGAUCACUGUGAUCCCAAAUUAGUCCAAAUAUAUCUUUUAAAUAAGAAAUACUAUUAAGUAUUAAGUAUUACUGUUAAGUAAUACUAUUAAGUUAUCAAUUUAGACUGAUAUGUUUAUGUCAGCAAGUUAUUGAUCAUUAUUAUAUUAUUACUUUAUUCAUGCAAUAGAAAGGGGAUGAUUAUUAUAUAUAUUUAUAGAAAAAUUAUUGAAGAAUACACAAUGGUUUCUUAGCAAUACCUCUGAGGAGUGGGAAUGGGAAGGCCAAACGGAGAGGGAAACUUUUUCUAUCUACACCCUUAUUGUACUGCUCGAAUAUUAUUGAGCACAUAUUACUUUUAUAAGAAAAAACAAAAAGACUGUUGAAAGUUUUUAGCAGCAAGUGGUAUAGUGAAGGUUGUAAAUGGAGCUAAUAAACUGCCUAAUAUGCUGGCAAUAUCUAAGAGUAAAUAUUUUUUGUCAUUACAAGUAAGUAGAAUUAUAUCCAUGACCAUAAAAAUGAAAUAAUGCAGAGAGGUUGUGUUAAAAUGGUAAUUUAUUUUUCCCCAGUAGCUGACUCAAUUUUGGAUAUAUUCAAAGUGUAUCUUUGAAAGUUUUAAGAGUACAGAACCUGCAGAUAUGGAGGACCAUCUGUAAGGGACACAGGUUUGUUAUCCAAGGGGCUCCUCGAACCAAUCACCCAUGGACACCAUAGGAUGACUAUAGUUUCUUAUCUAUAAAAGAAAAAAAGCAAACAAUACAUAAAAGUUAAAAAUGAAAUUCCUUUAUGGUUACACACCAUUUCUGAAGUUUGUUUAUUGCGAGUGAUUUGGUGUAUUUUUUAAAAUGGAACUCUCCCUAUGGAAAUGGACACACCCACACACAAUUAUAUGCAUAUCACUUCAUUUCUUUAUUGAUUUGCUGGGGGUUGAAACCAGGUCCUCACACAUGCUGAACACGUGCUCUAACACUGAGCUACAUCCCCAGCCUCACGUAUCAUUUCUUAAAUAAAAAUGGGCUUUUAUUAUAUGCACUGUUCUGCAACAUGCUUUUUCACUUAAUGUUAAUAUAUGAUCAUUACAUAUACACUUAGUUGUUCCAUAAUUCACUGUUACUGAAGUUCAAAGUUGUAUGCACACUUUGCUACAUUGUACAUUCCUGGAUAGCCUUCCUUCUCCACUUACGUAUUUCAGUAGGGCAAAUAACUAGAAGCAAAAUUGCUAAAUGAAAAGAUGUCUUGAUUUAAAAAUGCUGAUAGGCAGUGCCAGAUUGCUACCAAUGAAAUUACAUUGUUAUACUGACACCCAGGCCAAAUUCUAGUAGUGCCUGUCUUCUUUUCUCCCACCCACCCCCCAACCUUGCUCCUGCAACGUGAAAAAAGUAUAAUUCAAUUUAUGUUUCUUUGAUGAUUACUGUCGUUGAAAAUCACAUUGCAUAUAAUAAUAUAGAUUUAAAUUUAUAGUUGUAAAAGUUGGAUGUUUACCUUUUGCCUAUUUUCAUAUCUCUUUUCACUUUUUCUUUUUGAUUCAUAAAUACUUUAUAUAGGAUAUUUUUUUAAAGAGAGAGAGAUAGAGAGAGAGAGCGAGAGAGAGAGAGAAAGAGAAUUUUAAUAUUUGUUUUUUAGUUUUCGGCGGACACAACAUCUUUGUUUGUAUGUGGUGCUGAGGAUCGAACCCGGGCCGCACGCACGCCAGGCAAGCGCGCUACCGCUUGAGCCACAUCCCCAGCCCCAAUAUAUAGGAUAUUUUUUGGUAAUAUAAAAGCUAAUAUUUCUCCAUUUGUGUCUUUAUAUUAAUAGUGUUUUAUGCAGAAGAAUCAAUUUAUUGUAAUGUUAUUCUGAUCAAAAUUAUACAUAUCUAUAAUUUAAAAAGCCAAAAUUUUCUUCAAAGCUGAUAACAAAAAACCAUGGUCUCCUGCCUUACAUCUCUUCUCCCAUUCCCAAUUGCUGCUUCCCAAUGGUAACCACUUUAAAGUUUUAUCGAUGUAUAAUGGUCUUUUUUUUCUAUAUAUACAUUUCUAAGCAACAUUUUUAUAUUGCUAUCUGAAUAUUUCAAUUUUAGAUGAAAACUUAGACUUUAGCUUUCUUACAUACACAGCUCACAUUUUACCCCUAUCUUCCAGAAAUAGUUAUAUCAUAAUUUUUGGUUAGCUUAACAGACAGUGCUUGCGUUAUUAUGAUACAUAUGUUAUUCACAGCUUUGGCUUUUAGAGGACUAUGACUAAGUUCUCUUUCUGAGUAACAUUUUGUUUUCCCUAGAGUCAAUAAUUGCUUCAUUUCUUUUAUUAAUUCACAUAAUUCAUUCUCAUUUCCUACCCCACAAUUUUAAGUAUCCUCUCAAUAUGUUCACAUCUACUAGGUAAUAUAUCAAAUUAAUCUUUUUCUUGAAAACUCCCUAUAGAAUCCCUGUGUUCUGCAAAACACAGUAAGAUACCACUUCACACACACACACACACACACACACAAUUAUGUAUACGUACUUUCUUAAGUAAAAGUGGGAUUUGAUCAUAUAUACUGUUUUCCAACAUGCUUUUUUUCAUGCAAUAUAUUUAUAUAAGAUUACUGCAUAUGUUCUUUUUCAUCAUUAAACUGUUAUUCUCUCAGGCUCCUUUUGCUGUUAUUAUCCUGGUUAUUUAUCUUUAACAUCAUCCAGGAGGUUUAUAUUUUUGCAGCAAAAUUAAAGAAACUUUAGCUUUCUUACAUACACAGUAAGUGUUGUUUGUUUGUUUUUUAGUUUCUGCAUUUUGUGUCAUUUAAAAAUCUGAGAUUAUAAAAAUAUUUGCCCACAUUUCUAUUGGUUGAACAGUUCUAAUUUUCUAUAUAUAUAAAUUAUUUUGUUAUAAAGAAUGAGAUAUGGAAGCUUCCUUUGUUUUUUUUUUUUUCAAUCCUUGAAUGACUGUCCUGUAUCAUUGUAUUAAGUAGUUCAUCUUCCUACACUGAUUUGAAACACAGCCUAGAUCAUAUAUCCAUGUGGACUUGUUUGUUUUUGAGACCCUUCUGUUCUGUUUCAUUGAUCUGUCUAUUCCAGUCCCAGAUUUCAGCCAUUCAUUUGCUCUGGUUUUACUACUGAUUUUAAUUCCUGACUGGACAAGUUUCUUCAAGGCUCCUUACCUUCGCUUGAUCCAAAUUUCUUUUUUUUUUAAUUUUUAUUGUUGGUUGUUCAAAACAUUACAUAGUUCUUGAUAUAUCAUAUUUCACACUUUGAUUCAAGUGGGUUAUGAACUCCCAUUUUUACCCCGUAUACAGAUUGCAGAAUCACAUCAGUUACACAUCCAGUGAUUUACAUAUUGCCAUACUAGUGUCUGAGAAGGGGAAUUGCCAUACUAGUGCCAUACUAGUGCCUGAGAAGGGGAAUAGCUGGGUCAAAUGGUGAUUCCAUUCCCAGCUUUCCAAGAAGCUUGAUCCAAAUUUCCCUGGCUACUUAUUGAAUGUUUGUUCUUCUAGAUCAGGAGUUGGAAAACUUUGAACCCACAGAUCAAAUCUGUCUGUUUUUAAUAAUUUGGAAGCUAAAAAUGAUUUUUAAUUUUUUGCUAGUUGGGUGGAAAAGAAUAUUUCUUAACAUGGGAAAAUUAUAUGAAAUUCAAAUUUCAGUGUAUAAGUAAAAGUUUAUUCUAGCACAUGCUCAUUCUUAAUGUUUUAUUUGUGGCUAUUUUCAUGCUGUGAGACAGUUGAGCAGUUACAUCAGGCAGUAUUGCCCACAAAACGUAAGAUGUAGUAGAAAAUUUACAAAAAAGUUUUGCUGGCCCCUGUUCUAGACCAAAUUUUGAACAGUUUAAAAGGAAUCCUAUUUGAAUUUCAUAUAAUAUACAGAUUUUAAGGAGAAAUAACUUUUUAAGUUAUUUUAAUUUUAAGGAGAAAUAACUUUUUCAGUGUUGUCACCAAAGAACAAAAUAAGUCUUUCGUUUAUUCAAAUUUUCCAUUAGCAACAUCUAUUAUAUCCAUUAAUGAUAUCAAUAUAGUCAUUAUUGGGAUCUUUUCUUUUACUCUAUUUCUUCAUAUAUAUUUAAUUCAUAUAAUUCUUUUAAGAUAAAAUAUAUCAUAAAACAGUCAAGACAUAUCAUAUCUUCUGUUACCAUCUCAAUCAGAUAAAUGAAACAUAAAAGAAAAUGGAAAUUAUAUUCUUGGCAAAAAUAUAAAUGAAGAUAGAAAAAUUAUUUUCCUGUAGUUUUCAUUUACAUUUUUUUAAGAUAUCAUGUUACUUGUUGCAACAUACACUUUAAUUAUGGGUCAAAGGCAAAAUGACUCACUUAUUAAAAUUAUUUUUAUUAAAAUAUACUCACAUGUAUUAAAAUUUUGAACAGUAUAAUAAUGUACAAUAUAGAACGUAAAUGAACUCAAUCAAAAUAGAAACUACCAAUCAAGCUGGGUGGUGUGGUGCACACCUGUAAUCCCAAUGGCUCGGAGGUUGAGAUAGGAGAAUUUCGAGUUCAAAGCCAGCCUCAGCAAUGGCGAGGCGCUAAGCAACUCAGUGAGACCCUGUCUCUGAAUAAAAUACAAAAUGGGGCUGGGGUUGUGUCUCAGUGGUUGAGUGCCCAUGAGAUAAACCCCUGUACCCAAAAAAAGAAAACCCUACCAAUCAUACACAAUAUAGUAGCAAAUUCUUAUCAUAUACCUUGAAACUGUUUGGGUAUAUGCUUCUAGGUUUUCCUCUAUCUUUCCUAAUGUUGUUUAUAUUAUUAAUAUUACUUUUAAAUGUAAUGAUAUUACAUAUAUUACAUAUGCAUAUUACAUUUUCUUAUUACUUAUCAAUACUUUAGUAGGACAUCAUUUUUAUAGAUCUGCUUCUACAGUAAUCAAGUGUAAAAUUCUACCUAUUUUUAUUUUUCUUAAUACUUUUUUAGUUGUAGAUGGACAUAAUAUCUUUAUAUUUAUUUAUUUAUUUUUUAUGUGGUGCUGAGGAUUGAACCCAGGACCUCACAUGUUUGAGGCAAGUGCUCUGCCACUGAGCUACAACCCCAGCCCCCUACCUAUUCUUUUUUGAUGGACUUUUGGGUUGUUUCCAGAUGUUUUCUAUUACAAACCAUGUUGUAAUUAUCAUUUAUAAAUAGCAGUAGGAUUCAUUUUCAGUUCAUCUACUCUGAUUCUAGACUAUUUCAGUUCCAGGAUCACUUUCUUCAUAUAUUCCUAGAAAUGUAAAGGACCUCUCAUUUUAGUUAAAAAAAAAAAAAAAAAAACAUUAUUUAAGUAAUUACUAUUUAUAAAGCAGUGUGCUUCCCAGAAGUCCUUUUCGGUUUUUGUUUCUUUAAUAAUGAAAUAGUCCUGAUCUCUGUGAGCUUACAGCCUCAUAUGGCUGGCCAGCAUGUACCCAAUCAAUCAUAACUUUUACUAAUUAUGUAGUUUGUAAAAUGUUAGUUAUGACUGUGUGCUGAUAAACUUUUUUGCCUUGGGCUUUCAGCAGAUUACAGGGAGAUGGGGUUGAUAAAGGUACGUGAAACAAAGUGCAUAUUGAAGAGUAGCAAAUUCUAUUUAUUGGUGGGCUUGUGCCACCAAAGCUCUCUCAUCAGGUAGACAAAUUAUAACACAGAGAAGAGAUUAAAAGACGUAAUGUCCUAUCCUGUAUCCUAUGUUACCAACAUGCUAUCUGGUUUCACUUUUCAUGUGCUGUAGUUGCAUUAGCUAUAAGAAAUAAUGGUAAAAAUUAAGUUAUAUAAACCUAUUUUUUAAAAAAAUUCAUAAAACUUCAUAAGAUCACUAGAUUUCACUGGAGCUUCCACCCUAUAUGUUACUAGAUGUGAUAAAAAUUGAUUACAAAAAGUAAGUGGGAAAAUGUUAACUUUUAUUAAUGACAUACCAUGUAAAUUGGAGUAUUGUUCCAUGUUCUAUCGUACACCUUUUGACACAUUGGGUUCACUUGUGGAAAUUUAUCAUAAGGAAAUCAUUACGGGUACAUCACCACGAUCUAUUUACAGAACUCUUUCAUCAUCACAAGCAGAAGAAUCUCUGUACCCAUUAAGCACUAACUCAGCAUUCCCCUGCUUUGCCAAGGUAAUCUGCCACCCUUUUAUCCCUAUGAAAGAAAAGAUUGUUUGUCUUGUUAUUGAGUUGUAAUUAAUGUUCUGAACAUUAAACAUUAAACCCUUAUCGGACACAUGAUUUGCAGACAUUUGCUCUCACCUUUGAUAGUGUCUUUUGAUACAAAUAAGUUUAAUCUUACUGAGGUUCGGUUUUUUCUGUUUUGUCUUUUGUUACCUGUGCUUUUGGUGUUCCUACUGUUGGAAUUUUCAUUGUUGCUGUUCACUUUGAAUUUUUUUUGUAAUUGACAAAAUAUAUAUCUGGUGUACAAUUUAAUAUUUUGAUACAUGCACACAUUAAAUCAAACUAACAUACCUGAUUUCAACUGAAAUUUUGUAACCUUUGGUACGUGUCCUCACUGCCACUGGUCCCUGGUAACCAGCAUUCUAUUCUACAUAUUCUGUUCUGAGUUUGACUUCUUAGACUCCGUAUAUAAGUGAGAUCAUACACUUUUGGCCUUUCUAUACCUGCCUUAUUUUACUUAACAUAAUAUCCUUUGUGGUCAUCUUCAUUGAUGCAAAUGACAGAUCUUCUUCCUUUUUGUGGGAGGUGAGGGAGGAGUACCAGGGAUUGAACUCAGGGUCACUCGGCCACUGAGCCAGCCACUGAACCGCAUCCCCAGACCUAUUUUGUAUUUUAUUUAGAGACAAGGUCUCGCCUCGCUAUUGCUGAGGCUGGCUUUGAACUUGAGGUUCUCCUGCCUCAGGCUCCUGAGCUGCUGGAAUUACAGGCGCCUGACUCCUUCCUUUCCCCUGUAGUGCUGGGGAUUAAACCCAGGGCCUUGUGCACGUGAGGGAAGCACUCUACCAACUCUACCUGAGCUAUAACCCCAGCCCAGGCUCCUUCCCUUUUUUUCCCAAGGCUGGAUAGUAUUUCAUUGCGUAAUGACCCACAUUGCUCUCAUUCAUUCAUCCAUCGUUGGACAUUGAGGUUGAUAUCACGGCACAGCUAUUUUGAACAAUGCUGCAGGGAAUGUGGGAAUGCAAAUAUCUCUUCACUAUACUAAUUUCAUUUCCUUUGGAUACGAAGCCCCGAAGUGGCAUUGCAGUUCUAAUUUUAAUUUUUUGAAUAACCUCCACACUGUUUCCAUAAUAGCUGUACCAACUCACAUACUCACCACCAUCUUACAAGGGUCCCCUCUUGCUAACAUUGGUUAUCUUUUGUCUUUCCCUUCCCCCACCCCCAAUCCAGGGAGUGAACCCAGGACCUUGCACAUACUAGGCAAGUACUCCACCACUGACUCUCCCCAGUCCUUAUCUUUUAUCUUUUUGAUGAGUACCAUUCUUACAGGUGUGAGAUGGUAUAAUGGUUUUAAUCUGCAUUUCCCUAAUUAUUUUGAUGUCAUUUUUAAGAAACCAUAGCCAAACCCAAGGUUUAUUACUAUAAUUUUUAAAGAGUUUUAUAAUUAUUUAGGUCUUUUACAUAUAUAUUUAAUAUUUAUUUUUUAGUUAUAGGUGGACACAGUAUCUUUAUUUUAUUUUUAUGUUGAGGAUUGAACCUAGUGUCUCACACCUGCUAGGCAAGCACACUACCUCUGAGUCACACCCCCAGCCCAAUAUAUAUUUUGAGUUAAUUUGUGUAUAUGGUAUAAAGGUCCAGUUUAAUUCUUUUGUAUACUAUGUAGUUGUCCUAACAUGGUUUUUUGAAGAGGCUCUUCUUUCCCUGUUGAAUGUUCUUGGUGCCCUGUUGUGGAUUUCUUAGCUGUAGAGAUAGUGAGGGUUCAUUUCACAAGCUCUCUCCAUUGGCCCAUGUGUGUCCUCUGUUGGCAAGUAUGGCACUGUCCUGACUGCUCUAGCUGUGUUCUAAGCCACAGGAAGUGUGGGAACCUCCAAUUCUGUUCUUUUUCAGUAGUACCUUGGCUUUUUGGGGUCCUUUGGAAUUCUAUAUAAAUUUCAGACUGAGUUCUUCCAUUUCUGUACAAAACACUUUUAAAUUUUGAUGUAAAUACAUAUUAAGUUUCCUAGUCCUUGAACCCACGCUAUCUUUCCACUUAUUGCUGUCUUUAUAGAUUUCUUUUGGCAAGAUUUUGUGAUUUUUAUUUAAUAAGUGUUUUCCUUCUGGGUCUGGGGCUUCACAGGUGCCAGUCACACACCGUACCAUGAGCUACAUGUCCAGCCUUCGUUGUUCAAAUCUUUGUGCCGCCUCAGUGAAGUUUGUUCCUAAAUAUUUCCUUAUUCUGAUGACAUUAUUAAUCAAUUGUUUCCUUAAUUCCCUUUUCAGGUUUGUUCAUUGCUGUGUAGAUAAAUGCACUGAUUUCCUGUUUUGGUUUUGUACUUUGCCACUUCGUUAAAUUCAUAUAAGCUCUAACAGGUUUCUAUGUGCAUGUGAAUUCCUUAGGGUUUUCUAGAUAUAAGAUGAGGAUAUCAAGGCAGAACAUUUUAAUGUAAUGUUUUUUCUGAAUAAGACCAAAGAAAAUAAUUUAUGCCAAUGACUAGGAGUCCUUUCAGGUUUAUGUUUUUUGUUUUAUUUUGGUUUGUUUUUGUCUGUUUUGAGUGGGAAAUCAUUUCUUUUAAAAUAAGGAUCACUAGGGCUGGGGAUGUGGCUCAAGCGGUAGCACGCUCACCUGGCAUGCGUGCGGCCCGGGUUCGAUCCUCAGCACCACAUACAAACAAAGAUGUUGUGUCCGCCAAAAACUAAAAAAUAAAUAUUAAAAAAACUCACUCUCUCUCUCUCUCUUUAAAAAAAAAAUAAGGAUCACUAGUAAUAAACAGAGUAAAAUUUCUAAAGGACAAUUAAUAAACUAGUACACUUAAAUAAAUUCUAAUGAGUAGAAGCAGGUAUGCUAGGGCUGGGGCUGUAGCUCAGUGGUAGAGUGCUUGCCUAGCAUGGGUGACGCAGUGGGUUCCAUCUUCAGCACCACAUAUAAAACAAAUAAAUAAACAAUAAAGGUUAAAUUCUAUUUUUUUAAAAAAGUAAGACUUAUGAUAACAAAUCCAUGAUCAAGAUUAACUAAGUAAACCUUUUCUUGAUUCCUUUAAUUGAGCAUUUUAAAACCUGACACUGCUUAUCAAUCCAUGUAGAAUGCAAGUCUUCCAUUACCAUUAGGAAUUAAUUGAGGGUGAUCUGAGAAAUCAAACAAUUGGAGACAAUCUCCAUGUCACGCAUCUGGAUGUCCAUCCCAUCCCCUAUUGGAGCUUGGCCUGUGUGCUUCUUGGCAUCAGUGCCUCCUAAUAACUCCUCUCUCCUCCUUUCCUCCUGAAAUUAUCCCAGCAGCUACUGGAUAAUUUGGGGUCAGUAUCAUCACUUAUGGUGUAACCUUAGAGGACUAUCUGAUCCACAAUUCACCCUCUUCAUUAUUUACUAUUUCUGCUUCCUUUGUCAUUUAUACUUAAAGCUAAGUUCAUUGUACCACAAACAAAUCCCACCACCCCCCUCAUGUGCAUUUACAUAGUCUUCCUUUCCCCAAUUCUCAGAGUUCCUUCAAAUGAUUGUUCAAUCUGGUCUCUUCUGUUAUUUUUAGUUCCUCCUCUUUUUGAGGGAGGAGAAUUAGCUUUUUAUAUAUCAACAAAAUAUUUCAAGCUUGUAGUCUAUAACCAAUAUUCAGAAUUUUUUUAAACAUUUUCUUUUUAGUUGUAAGUGGACAUAAUACCUUUAUUUUAUUUUUAUGUGGAUCGAACCCAGUGCCUCUCAUGCCAGGCAAGUGCUCUUCCUCUGAGCCACAACCCCAGCCCCAUCUCAGAAUUUUUUAAAGAAAUACACUACAUAGGUGAAGUAUCUUUUGUACUCCUUCCAGGUCCCAUUACUUCCCAUUUACCCCCAAUGCAUUCACUUCCCAGAAAUUGGUGUGUAUCCCUUUCUUUACCAGUUGAACUUUUAUUUAUACAUCCUUCUACAAACAGUGUCGUGUUGUUUGUGAUAAAUUUAGAUUGAGUUCAUUGAUUUAAAGUAUGACUUUUUAUCAUGUAAGUAUAUCACAAUUAUCCUUUCUCCUUUGGAUGUAUUUAAGGUGUUUCUCAUUUUUUAACCAUUGCAAACAGUGUCUCAAUUCAUGUGCCCGUGCAGGAAUCAAGAAUGUACAUCCUCAACUUUACUAAAUAUCGCUAACUCAUGCUGAUAGUCUUUAUAGUAAUGUUUCCUUCUACUUUAUUUCUGAGCAAAAAUAUGAUAUUUAUAAUGGCUGGUGAGCGUUGAUAUAAUGGAUGAAAUUUAGGAUGGGAUUUCACCUUCAGAACCAAUUGCUUAGAUAACUUGAGUCAAGUCAUUUCAUCUCUCUGAGUCUCAAUUUCUUCAUAUCCAAAGUAAGGCCAGAUUAAAUAUGACCGCAGAUGUCCUUUCUAACCUUGAUGUCCUGUAGUUUUAGUUCUAAUGAUGUGAAUAUCAAGAGAAAGAUUUUAAAAUGAAAUUAUAUAUAAUAAAGAACUUACGUAACCAGUCCCUAAAUCCCGAGGUCUCUCUCUCUCUCAAAAUCCAAAAGUUCACUUAAGAAUAUCUUCAAGUCUGUAUUCACCAAGUCAUUUUUAUGUAUUCUAUAAUCAAGAUAGUUUUAAAAUUAUUUCUUAAUUAAAUUGUAUUCUGAUGUACAUAAUUAGUUGUAUUUUAAUGGCACUUUUUAAAAGAUAAUUAAAAUACAAAAUAAAGUAUUGACUCUUCAUCAGAGUCAAAAAACUCUUUUGUGUACUAACCUGAAAACCUAAAUGCCAUAUGAAACAUUGAUUUGUGGCUAAAAACAUGUUCAGAGUUGCAGAUAUGUAACUUGGAAGUGAACAUUUGGAUCCCAACUCAUUUGCAAUUUGGAGACUUCCUGUAAUGUUAAUUUUAGGAAAUCCCAAGCAAAUAUGCAGUUACUGCUCUAAAAGAUAUAUAUGUGGUGUGUACUGUGGAAAUUAAAAUGUCACUGCUAAAUGAUUUGCAUGUUGUGGGUUUGGAAGGGCCUAGAACUUCCUUCUUAGGCUUUUUCUCCAGUAGUAGACUGCUUCAUCUUCCUCCUCCUGGAGAAAGGCAGGCAGGAUAAGAGGCAUCGCAAGGAGAAACUUUUAACGAACUUUUUACAAAAAGGCAAAGACAAUUUCAAGGCACUGAUGGUCAGUAACAUCUCUGGCUGAGUCCUCAAAUAAGAUAGAGCUUAACUCUUCCAGGUUGAUUUCUUCAUGAGAAGUUGCUCUGGUUGUCCUUUAAUAUAAAAAGGUUAGUUUUCAUUUCCUUAAAUGUUGACUACAGAUUUCCAGGCAAUUUAGUCAUUCCUGUUGUAUAAAAAUUUACCGCUGAUUAUCUGACCCAGUCAUAAUGCUGUUGAUUUAAAAAAAAAAAAAGCUCUUUAGCUAUUAGAGGGUCCUAGUCUUAGGUGAAGUACAAGAGGCAGCUUUUCUCUUUCUUUGUAAUGGAGCUGAAAAUACCUUCUUUACUGCCUUGCCCAACCUUCCUGCUAGGAUCCAGAUUACCCUGAGUCGGUUGUCUAUGUAUGAGUUUUCAAUUCUCAUUUUUUAAAGCUUUCAUUUUGUUUGCUUUUAACUCUUUUUAAAUGGCUGCUUAGACUCUUUUCUGGAUUGUUCCCUGGUAAAUGAUAGGGAUUUUUUUUUUUUUUUUUUGGUCAGUUUCAUUUUCACUCUAGAUUUUAAUGCAAGGCUCAGCAGAAGAGAGCCUCACAGAUAAGCACUUUUGAUUGAUAGCUGCACAUCUGCUGUGUUUCCCCAAAUGUAUUUUUUCCUCCACAGUCUUUUGGCGCUCUUGUGAUGAUUUUGUUGUGCUAGAUCAUGAUACUACAAGCCUCCGGUUAAGAUUGGUGUUACUCAAAAGCCAAAAAUAAUGUCUGAGUGCAAGGUUGUGACAAAAGCUGUUAAGGACAAACAAAAAACUCAUAGUUGAAGUGAUACUCUCCUUUUUCUGUUGAUUCAAUAUGCAACGGUGGGCGAUUAGUUUCCUAAGCUUGGCUUUCAUUUCUUCAUUUGUACAAUCAGGCGAACAUAAGCUGUUUUGUAGAUUUUGUGAAUAAUUCAAUGAUAAAACAUUUGUAGGUUGUAAUACUUGUUGAAAUAGAUAUUAGUAAUAAACCUUAUUUGGAGAAACUAUCUCUUUGCCACUCACCACCUCCCCAACCCCAGAAUAAUAUCUUACUUUUUUAUAAUUGUGCAGAGCAUGACUAAUUGUAUGUUUUAAUCCAAAAUUACAGCAUUGCUGUAUGUUUUUUGUUUUUUCUUUCUUCUUUCUUGUUCUUUUUUAAUUUUCUUCCUUUCCCUUUUGUAGUACUGGGAAUUGAACCCAGGGCCUCACAUGUGCUAGACAAGCAGUAAAGUACAUCCCCAGACCUUUUUGAUUUUGAGACAAGGCCUCACUAAGUUGGCAAUGGUGGCCUUGAAUUUGACACCCUCCUGAAUCAGUCUCCUGAGUUUCUGGGAUAACAGGCGUGCCUGCUUUGCUCACCACCACCCCCAUCCUGCUGAGGAUGGAACCCAGGGCUUGGUGCCUGCUAGGCAAGCACUGUACCCUCUGAUCUAACCUCCAGACUUCAUUGCUGAAUAUUUUCAAAAUCACAAUUGCUUAUUUAAUUUAGACAGACUUCUUUCGUAGACUUUUAAGUAAUGCUAAUAAAUGUUAAAUUAUAAAUUAAAGCACUAAAUUAAAAAAAUUUUAAUUCUUAAUAGUAGGGAAUCCCUUAGUAUUUAAUCAUCUCAUCGGUUUUGAUUUUCCAUAGCUAUAAUUUUUAUCUCAGGUUUCUCAUAUGAAAUAAGUAAUACACACAUGGAAAAUAUUUGAUGAUAAAUAUUAAUUUUAAACUAGUAAUUGAAGCAGAAUAUUGGAAUCAUGGUAUUUUUAGGUUGUAAAUAUUCUCAGAUUUGCCCUUAAACUUUUUUUUUUUUUUUUUUUUGCUUUCAUGACUGAAGAAUUUAUUUUUAGUUUUUGGAAUUCAUUAACUUAAUUAGGAUGUCUCAGUGCUUAAUCCUAUGAUCACUGUCCUUGGAAUACUGUGUUAUUUUCUGUCAAUAGUGUCAAGUCUUUUCUUAUUUCUAGAAAGUUUUUUAAUUACAUAUUUUAAAAUUACAUUUACAUUAUCUUCAAGAUACUGAUUAUAAUGUGUCCAUUUUUACAUCUAAAACUUUCUGUCUCUUUUUUUUUUUUUUUUUUAACUUUGUUUGGGGUCCUCUUCUGUUGCUUUUUCAAUUCUACACUGCAGGUCCAUUACCAUGCUUUUUUAACCUUUACCAGAUCUUUGUGCUACUUCCAGUGCAUGCUUCAUUUGAUUUAGUAGUGAUUUUAUUUUUUUUCUUUUUCUACAAAUCUCUUAUUUUCUGCAGACUCAUAUUUCAUUUCCUGUUUUGGCUCAUGAUAUCUUUUAUUAACUUUUGGUUUGGGGGGCUGGGAUUGUGGCUCGGUAGUAGAAUGCUCGCCUAUGAGGCACUGGGUUCCAUCCCCAGCAUCACAUAAAUGUAAAAUAAAGAUAUUGUGUCCACCUAAAACUAAAAAAUAAAUAUUAAAAAAAAAAUUUUUGCCUGGGCCCCAUACCCACAUUAUUAGUUUUUUUCAAAAUUUUCUUUGUGCAUUAUAAUUUUACAUAAUGGUAGAAUUUGUUGUUAACUAUUUGUAUCUGCACACAGUAUAAUGAAUCCCCUUGUCCCUGUCCCUGGCCCUUUUUCCUUUCCUUUACUGAUCUCCCUUCAGUUUGCAUGAGAUCCCACCACUUUUCUUUUUCUUUCCUUUUUCCUCUCCAACUUCCACUUCUGAGAAAAAACAUAUGACCCUUGACCUUCUGAGUUUGACUUAUUUUGCCUAAUAAUGUUCUCAAGGUUUUAUCUAUUUUCCUGCAAAUGACAUAAUUUCAUUCUUCCUUAUGGCUAAAUAAAACUCCACUAUGUACAUAUACCACAUACGUUUCUGUUCAUCCACUGAUGGACACCUAGGCUAGUUCCAUAGUUAGGCUACUGGGAAUUGUGUGCACUAAUCAUGGGUAUGCAUGUAUCUCUAUAGUAUGCUGAUUUGAAUUCUUUGUGUAUAUAUGUGGGGGGGGAGGGAGGGAGGGAGAGAGAGAGAGAGAGAGAUUGUGUGUGUGUGUGGUGCUGGGAUUCAACCCAGGGCCUUGUGCAUACGAGACAAGCAUUCUACCAAUUGAGCUAUAUCCCAGCCCCUGAUUUUAAUUCUUUAGGAUAAAUACCCAGGAGUGGUACAGCUGGGUUAGAUGGUGGUCCAUUCCUAGUCUUUUGAGGAACCUCAAUUCUGAUUUCCAUAGGGCUGCACUAAUAGACAGCCCCAUCAACAGUGUAAAAGUGUUCCUUUUCCUGCACAUCCUCUCUAGUAUUUAUUAUUAUUUGUAUUCUUUUUUUUUUAAAAAAUUAUUUUAUUUAUUCUAAUUUGUUAUACAUGACAGCAGAAUGCAUUUUGAUUCAUAGUACACACAUAGAGCACAAUUUUUCAUGUUUCUGGUUGUAUACAAAGUAGAGUCACACCAUUCAUGUCUUCAGACGUGUACUUAUAGUAAUGAUGUCCAUCUCAUUCCACCAUCUUUCCUACCCUUAUGCCCCCUCCCUUGCCCUCCUUCUCCUUUGCCCUAUCCAAAGUUCCUCCAUCCCUCCCAUGCUCCCAUCCCACCCCAAUUAUGGGUCAGCAUCCAUUUAUCAGAGAAAACAUUUGGCCUUUGGUUUUUUUGGGGAUUGGCCUUCUUCACUCAGCAUGAUAUUCUCCAACUCCAUCCAUCUACCUGCAAAUGCCUUGAUUUUACUCUCUUUUAAUACUGAGUAAUAUUCCUUUAUGUAUAUAUAUAUACCACAGUUUCUUUAUCCAUUCAUCUAUUGAAGGGCAUCCAGGUUUGUUCCACAGACUAGCUAUUGUGAAUUAUGCUGCUAUAAACAUUGAUGUGGCUGUGUCAUUAUAGUUUGCUGUUUUUAAGUCCUUUGAAUAUAAACUGAGGAGUGGGAUAGCUGGAUCAAAUGGUGGUACCAUUUCAAGUUUUCCAAGGAAUCUCCAAACUGCUUUGCAGAUUGGUUGCACCAAUUUGCAGUCCCACUAGCAAUGUAUGAGUGUGCCUUUUCCUCCACAUCCUCGCCAACACUUAUUGUUGUUUAUAUUCUUAAUAGCUGCCAUUCUGAUUGGAGAGAGAUGAAAUCUUUGAGUAGUUUUGAUUUGUAUUUCUCUAAUUUGCUAGAGAUAUUGGACAUUUUUUUUCAUAUAUUUGUUGAUCGAUUCUAUAUCAUCUUCUGAGAAGUUUCUGUUCAGUUCCUUAGCCCAUUUAUUGAUUGGGUUAUUGUGUGUGUGUGUGUGUGUGUGUGUGAAGUUUUUUGAAUUCUUUAUAUAUCCUAGAGAUUAGUCCCAUAUCUGAUGUGUGUGUGUGGUAAAAAUUUGUUCCCAUUCUGUAGGCUCUUUCUUUACCUCACUGAUUGUUUCUUUUGCUGAGAAGAAGCUUUUCAGUUUGAACCCAUCCCAUUUGUUGAUUCUUGAUUUUUCUUCUUGCACUUGUUGAGGAAGUCGGGGCAUAAUCUGACAUGAUGAGGAUUUGGGCCUACUUUUCUUCUAUUAGGUGAAGGGUCUCUGGUCUAAUUCCUAAGUCUUUGAUCUACAUUGAGUUGAGUUUUGUGCAUAGUGAGAGAGAGGGGCUGCAUAUGGAUUUCCAGUUUUCAUAACACCAUUUGUUGAAGAGGUUAUCUUUUCUUCAAUAUGUUUUUGGUACCUUUGUCUAGUAUCAGAUAACUGUAUUUAUGUGGGUUUGUCUCUGUAUCCUCUAUUCUGUACUAUUGGUCUACAUGUCUAUUUUGGUGCCAAUACCAUGCUGUUUUUGUUACUAUUGCUCUGUAAUAUAGUUUAAGAUCUGAUAUAGUGAUGCCACCUGUUUCACUCUUCUUGCUAAAGAUUGCUUUAGCUAUUCUGGGUCUCUUAUUUUUCCAGAUGAAUUUCAUGAUUGCCUUUUCUAUUUCUAUGAGGAAUGUCAUUGGGAUUUUGAUUAGAAUUGCAUUAAAUCUGUGUAGUGCUUUUGGUAGUAUGGUCAUUUUGACAAUAUUUUUUCUGUCUAGCCAAGAACAAGGGAGAUAUUUCCAUCUUCUAAGGUGUUUUUUAAUUUUUUUCUUUAGCGUUCCGUAGUUUUCAUUGUAGAGGGUUUUUACCUCUUUCAUGAAGUUGAUUCCCAAGGGUUGUUUUGUUUGUUUGUUUGUUUUGUUUUGUUUUGAGGCUAUUGUAAAUGGGGUAUUUUUCCUAGUUUCUCUUUCAGAGGAUUUGUCACUGAUGUAUAGAAAUGCCUUUGAUUUAUGGGUGUUGAUUUUAUAUCCUGCUACUUUGCUGAAUUCAUAUAUUAGUUCUAGAAGUUUUCUGGUUGUAGGUAUAGAUUCAUGUCAUUGGCAAAUAGUGAUAGUUUGAGUUCUUCUUUUCCUAUCCAUAUAAUUUCUUUCAUCUGUCUAAUUGCUCUGGCUAAAGUUUCAAGAACUAUGUUAAAUGGAAGUGGUGAAAGAGGGCAUCCUUGUCUGUUCCAGUUUUUAGAGGGAAUGCUUUCAAUUUUUCUCCAUUUAGAAUGAUGUUGACCUUGGGCUUGGCAUUAAUAGCUUUUACGAUGUUGAGAUAUGUUCCUAUUAUCCCUAGUUUUUCUAAUGUUUUGAACAUGAAGCAGUGCUGCUUUUUCUGUAUCUGUUGAGAUUAUCAUAUGGUUCUUAUCUUUGAUGUGAUGAAUUACAUUUAUUGAUUUCUGUUUGUCAAACCAACCUUGCAUCCCUGGGAUGAACCCCACUUGAUCAUGGUGCGCUAUCUUUUUUAAUAUGUUUUUUUAUUCAAUUUGCCAGAAUUUUAUUGAGAAUCUUUGUGUCUAUGUUCAUUAGAGAUAUUGGUCUGAAGUUUUCUUUGAUUGAUGUGUCUUUGUCAGGUUUUGGGUUAUAGAAUGAGUUUCAUAUUUCAUGGAAUAAUUUGAGGAAUAUUGGUAUUAGUUUUUCUUUGGAGGUCUUGAAGAAGUCAGCUGUGUAUCCAUCUGGUCCUGGGCUUUUCUUGGUUGGUAGGUUUCUGAUGGCAUCUUCUGUUUCAUUGCUUGAAAUUGAUCUGUUUAACCUAUGUAUAUCAUUCUGAUUCAUUUUGGGUAAAUCAUAUGAUUCUAGAAAUUUGUUGAUGUCUUUGAAUUUUCUGUUAUUGGAGUAUAAAUUUUUAAAAUAAUUUCUAAUUAUCUUCUGUAUUUCUGUAGUGUCCGUCAUGAUAUUUCCUUUUUCAUCCGAGAUUUUAGUAAUUUGAGUUUUCUCUCUCCUUUUUAUUAGCUUGGCUAAGGGUUUAUCAAUUUUAUUUAUUUUUUCAAAGAACCAACUUUUUGUUUUGUCAAUUUUUUCUAUUGUUUCAUUUGUUUUAAUUUCAACUCCAAUUUUAAAUAUUUCCUGUCUUCUACUACUUUUUGUAUUGAUUUUGUUCUUCUUUUUUCUAGGGCUUUAAAAUGUAAUGUUCAGUUAUUUAUUUGUUGAGUUUUUCUUCUCUUAAGGAAUGAACUCCAUGCAAUGAACUUUCCUCUUAGUACUGCCUUCAUAGUGUCCCAGAGAUAUGUUUUGUUUUGAUAUGUUGUAUCAGUGUCCUCACUUACCUCUAAGAAUUUUUUAAUAUCUCCUCUUUGAUGUCUUCUGCAAUCCAUUGAUCAUUUAAUAGCAUAUUAUUUAGUCUCCAGGUGUUGGAGUAGCUUCUAUUUUUUAUUUUAUCGUUGAUUUCUAAUUUCAAUCCAUUAUGAUCUGAUAGAAUGCAAAGUAGUAUCUACCUUUUUGUAUUUGCUAAGAGUUGCUUUGUGGCAUAAUAUAUAGUCUGUUUUAGAGAAGGCUCCAUGUGCUACCGAGAAGCAAGUGUAUUCACUCAUUGAGGGAUGAAAUAUUUUAUAUAUGUCUGUUAAGUCUAAGUCAUUGAUUGUAUCGUUGAUUUCUGUAAUUUAUUUGUUUAGCUUUUGUUUGGAAGAUCUAUCCAGUGGUGAAAGAGGUGUGUUAAAUCACGCAGUAUUAUUGUGUUGUGACCUAUUUGACCCUUGAAAUUGAGAUGAGUUUGUUUGGUGAAUGUAGAUGCUUCAUUGUUUGGGGCAUAUAUAUUUAUAAUUGUAAUGUCUUAUUGAUGUGUGGCUCCCUUAAGCCAUAAAUAAUAUCCUUCUUUAUCCCUUUUGAUUAACUUUUUGGCUUGAAGACUACUUUAUUUGAUAUGAGAAUGGAAACCCCUGCUUGUUUCUGUAGUUCAUAUGAGUAAUAUGUUUUUUCCUAAACUCUCACCUUCCUUCAAUCUGUGGAUGAUUAUUUAUAUUCUUGAUGGCUGCCAUUCUUACUGGAGUGGGAUGAAAUCUCAGUGUAGUUUUGAUUUGCAUUUCCCAAAUUACUAAAGAUGUUGAACAUUUUUUUUCGUAUAUUUCUUGGCCAUUUAUAUUACUUUUUUUGAGAAGUGUCUGUUUUAAAGUUCAUUUGCCCAUUUAUUAGUUGAAUUUUUGUUUGGGGGGGUGUUAAGUUUUUUGAGUUCUUUAUAUAUUCUGGAUAUCAAUCCUCUAUUGAAAGAGAAUUUUCUUAAAUUCUGCAGGAUCUUUCUUCCCUGUCUUGUUUCCUUUGCUGUGUAGAAGCUUUUUAACUGAUACUAUCCCAUUUAUUAAUGUGUGGCAUUAUCUCCUGAGCUUUAGGUAUCCUAAAGUCAAUUGAGAAAGCUGUUGCUUAUGCCACUAUGUUGGAGUGUUGACCCUAUGUUUACUUCUAGGAAUUGCAUAGUUUCUGGUCUAAUUCCUAUGUCACUGAUCAAUUUUGAGUUUUGUAUAAGGUGAGAGAUAAGGAUGUAAUCUCAAUCUUCUACAUAUAUAUAACCAUUUUUUACAUCACCAUUUGUUUAAAAGGCUAUUUUUCCUCCAAUUUAUGUUUUUAGCAUCUUUGUCAAGGAUCAGAUGACUGUAUCUGCGUGGUUUUGUCUCUGUGGCUUAUAUUCUGCACCAUUGGUCUAUAUGUCUGAUUUUUAUGCCAGUCCCAUACAGUUUUUCUUACUAUAGCUCUGUCAUAUAAUUUGGAGCCAGGUAUUGUAAUGUCUCCAGCAUUGCUUUUUUGGUUUAUAAUUGCUUUGGCUAUUCUGAGUCUUAUUCUUCCAAAUGAAUUUAGGAAUAUUUUUUUUCUAGUUUUGUGAAGAAUGUCAUUGGUAUUAAUGGGAAUUGUAUUGAAUAUGUUUUUGCUUUUUGUAAUAUAGCCACUUUAACAAUGUUAUUUUUGCCUAUCCAUGAACAUGAGAGGUCUUUCCAUCUUUGUAUGUCUUUUUCGAUUUAUUUCUUCAGUGUUCUAUAUUUUUUAUUAUAGAAGUCUUUCACCUCCUUGAUAUUUUAUUUUUUAUUGUGAAUUGGGAUUAUUUUUCUGAUUUCUCUUUCAGUGGAUUUAUUAUUGGUGUAUUGAUUUUUGUAUGUUGGUUUGUAAUCUGCUGCUUUGUUGAAUUUUUUUUUUUUUAAUAGCUCUAGAAUCUUCUGGUGGAACUUUUUGGAUCUUGUAAGUGUAGAGUCAUGUCACUGCAAAUUUCUAUUAAUUCUUGUAUCUCUGUGCUGAGCUCCUGUUUUAUAUAGAAAUUACUUCAUUGGGCUUUUCAGAUUUUAAUUUAUCAGCAAUAUGUUCUGACAUAAUGUACAUCUGCUAUAUGAAAACAAUAUUCUUCUGAAAAGAGUCAUCACCUGUCAUUUUUUCCAAUUUGUUUUCAUUAAUUUCUUUUUAGUUGUAGAUGGGCACAGUAUCUUUAUUUUAUUUUACUUUAUCUUUAUGUGGUGCCAGGGAUUGGACCCAAUGCCUCACAUGUGCUACACAAGUGCUCCACCACUGAGCCACAACCCCAGCCCCACAAUUUAUGUUUUGUUGGAUUUUUUGCAGUGUCUUUAACAUAUAUGAUACCAUUUUUUAAUAAUUAUCAAACUCCAAAUGAGAUUAAUUUUCCUUUGUCUUUGGGGAUUCCUGUGGGGAAGGACCCAAGGCCAUGUUUCAAAGAGUUUUCUUUAUUUCCUUGUAAAGAUCCUUAUAGCAAUUAAUUUGUGAAUUCUUUUAACCUGUAUUUUCACUAAGACGAUGUUUUUGCAGUUUUAUUGCAUUAAUUUUCAAAUAAAAUGGACAAUAUAAACCUAUUUUAGAUUCUUUUUUAUUAAUUAUAAUGUAAAAGUUUCUGCAUGAAUAUAUAUGAAUAUAUGUAAGAAAAAUAGAUUAUAGAGAAUCUGUGGAUAUGUACACUAUUUUUUUUUAAGAUAUAGCCAACUAGCUAUUAUACUUAGGGACAAACUGGGGCAAUGACCCAAAAUGUCUUAUACCUCGAACUAGUUGUCCCACUGCAUUAAAACUCUAAAUCUAGAAUACAUUAAGAUUACCACCAUUCUGUGGUUAGCACACUCUUGACUUCUUUCUUAUACUUUAAAUCCGUCCUCCAUACUCUCCUCUGUAAUAGGAGAAAAUAGCUCUCAACAUCCCUAAGCAGAUGUGGUAAACCUGUUUAUAUGACUGGUUACAACAUAAUAAAGGGUUAUUAUAAUCAUUUUAUAGAUUAUAUUAAGUAAAUAUUUUAAAUGGACAGAUUACAGAAAUCUAUCAAAGCAAGACUUUGGAUUAUUUUUUGUUUGUUUGUUUCUCAGUGCUGGGAAUUGUACUUAGAGCCUUGUCCAUUCUAGUUGAGCAUUCUUCUACUGAGCUAUAUCUCCAGCCCAGGAUAAUUUUUAUAUUAUCUUUUUUUUUUUUUUUAACCAUGAACUCCAAGAAAAAUGAGAUACCAAUUUGGAACAGAUUGAAUAUUUCUGUUUUAACUAUUCAAGGAUGUGCCCCAAGUUCAGUAAUUUUGCUAAGACACAGAUCAAAAUAGAAGCCUCUGUGAAGCUUCCCAGCAUAUGAAGGACUUACCUUAUGUGUGUGUUUGGAGAUAUACAUAUUUCACAUUUCAGAAAGGUCUAUACAUAGCUCACCAAAUGGCAAAAACCAAUUAAAGCCACAUUGUUAGAAAACAAAGAUCCUAAGUGAGAGAUGAGGUGGAGAGUAUUUUCCUAUGGGAGGAAGGAAUAAAGAAAGGAAAAGAAGUCGUCCAGGAAAAGCUCCCAAUCUGAGCUUCAGCUAGUAACCAUGGGUCAUCUGCCCCCCUGCACACACUCAGGAGAAAGAGCACAGUUCCCAGGCAGGAGAAGGGUGACUAAGGCAUUGCUUUAAUAAGUAAGAUGAAAGUAAAGAGAUGACAGCUUCAACAUCUGAGAACUUAGGCCAUGUCUAAGAACUUAGGACAUAACAUGUUUUUGUCCAUAUAAAAUUUCCCCGGGGCUGUUGUCAUUUUUAAACAAUAUAAUCCAACAAAGGAGAGAGAAAGUUUCAGAACCUAAAUUUGAGAGCUCUAUUAAGACCAUCCAAUCACAAGCUCAAGGCCAGCCUGGUCUUUGUAAGACCCUCUUUCAGAAUAAAAAGGACUGGGGAUGUAGCUCAGUGGUAGGGCAUACCUGGGUUAAAUCCCCAGUACAGAAAAAUAAUAACACCAAUGACAAUUUAAACAUUAAGAGCCAAAUAAAAGGAAAUGUAUGAUAUAUUUUUUUUGGAGUUCAUUUUUUCCCAGAGUCAUUUUUGGAUUGCAUCCUCAUCUUGUAAAAGUAUGGGUACUCUGAAAAACUGGCCACUGGGAAUCCGAUGCCACUUAUAAAACAUCAGAGAAAUAAUAAUUGAUCUUCCUGUCUUACCAGGAUGUUAAUAUAAUUAAAUGUGACUAAAUAUGUGAAAGCACUUUAUACAAAUAUAAGUGUUUAAUGUUGUUAUUUUUAAGAUGUGAAAGGAGGCCAAACUUAUCCCAGUAGCCUGUUUUAAGCAGCUGCUAGGAACAUGUACUGGCAGCUAUCAUGUGGUGCCAAACCCCUUUUUACUACACCAGUGCAGAUGCAAACAGGUCUGCAGAAUGUAGCCUAGCAUUUUUAGCAUAUGAGUAAUAAGACGUCAUCUUCUCCGGUAGAGUUCAGCAUUUAGAAAUCUCUUUCCAAGGAAAAAACUUCAUUAACAGUUCUUGGAGGAAACUAUCACCUCUAGCCAGUGGUAGAACUCUACUCUCAAAUGCUUAGAAAUGUGUCUAACAGCAGGAGGAAAGAAAGAGUGGGUGACUACAGCUGCUCCACUGUACCCUGAAGAAAAUACACACACAUACCCACCCUCACCCUGCCCUUGCUACAUGAUACUGUAUGUAGUCUUUUCUGUUUCCAGUAGAGUAUUCUUCCAUUCUGUUUAAAACAAAAAAUGGCAGACCAAGGAGUUAGUCCAAGGAGAAGGUACGGGAUGGGUUGUAGGUAGUAAUAGCAUCAUCGCUCUGAGGUUAGGUCACCAAAACAAUUGAAUUCCUGUGGAAGCAAAAGGUUAGUGUUAGAGUACUAGUUGAUUUCCAACCUUUGCUUUAUGUUUUUACAAAUGAUUUCAAAAAAGACUAGGAGGACACCAUAGUGGGGGGAAGGGGAAGGCUGGAAGGCUGAUUCAUAAAGUGGUGAAAAGCAGUGUUGAAAACUCACUACCUCUGGCCCAGUUAGUCAAAGAGAUGUGUCAGCAAUUCCUGAGGCAGAGGUACAGCCUGCAGAGUCUAGUUGCGAGUAUCAUUAUUAUUCAACUUCAACAUAAUUACCAGUGUGUUUUGCACUAUCUAGAGCUAUGUUAUCCGACAGAGUAGCUGUUAACCAUACAGCUAUUUACAUUUUAACAAAAUUAAAAUCAUAAAUUCAGUUCCUCUGUCACCUAACCACUUUUCCAGUGCUUAAUCGCCACUUAUAAAUGACUACCAUAGUGGACAGUGCAAAGAGGAACUGUUUCCAUCAUCAUGAAAUAUUUUGUUUGGAAUUUAUUUAUUUAUUUAUUAUGAACUUGGGAUUCUUGUGAGAAAAAAAAAUUUGCUCUAACCUCUUUUUUUUAACAUUUAUUUUUUAGUUGUAGUUGGACACAAUACCUUUAUUUUAUUUUUUUUUUAAUGUGGCGCUGAGGAUCAAAACCAGGGCCCUGCAUGUGCUAAGUGAGAGCUCCAGCACUGAGCCAUAACCUCAGCCCCCUCUUUUUUUUUUUUUAACACUUAUUUUUCAGUUGUAGACGGACACAAUACCUUUAUUUUAUUUUUAUGUCAUUCUGAGAAUCGAACCCAGUGCCUCACACAUGCUAGGUAAGCACGCUUCCUCUGAGCCACAACUCCAGCCCAUGCUCCAUCCUCUUAAAACCCUAAGAGGUCCUCGUGAUUAAGAAAAGUCUGUCCCCAUCUCUCUUCUCUCUCCAACAAGUUUACCAGGUUGUUCUUUCAUUCUGAGAGCAAAAGUUUAAUGUUGAAUAUACUCUAUUUUAAAAUCAUAAUUUAAAGUCCAUAGUGCAAUAUAUAAAAUAAUUUCCCUUUAAAAACCCAACCUACCACUCUGUCUUGAUUAUUUUAGGGAUAAAUAAUAUUUUCAAAUGAACAUUAGGGUCCACAAAAACUAAAAUCCUAAAGCAGUGUGGAUGAUAUUUAUUACAGAUAUUUAUUUACAUGGUCUUAAUUGCAGAUUACAUUCUUUUUUACAAGACAUUGCAACCAUGUAAACUGACUGAAGAAUAUUAGAGAUUUCCUUACUGUAAAACAUAAGUUAUGGCAAUUUUUCUAAACAAUACUCAGUUACUAUACCAAAAAGUCCAGGAAGAUGCAGUUAAUUAUUCAAGACCAAGUGGUGGAAGCCUCAUUUUGGUUAGUAUAUUUUGUAGUCAGCCUAGUUCAAACAGCCUGUGUCUCUGUUCCCUGAGUCCUUUGAGGAUUCUAAUGCUUAGAAUGAGAAUAGCACCAAAUGUGAAACUUCUGGAGAGCAAAAAUUAAAGAGAAGUAUGUGCCCUUUAGUUUUCUUUAGUGGAAUUUCCCUCUCGGUGAAUGAAAUGUAAUUCAGCCCAUUGAAUCCUUGAAUGAUUUUAUUGCAUUGGAACUCCUAAAAGAAUUUUCUGAAAAACACUGCUUGCCAUUUCAACAACUUAAACCUGUUGCCUGUUCAGUCCCUUCAUAACAGACUCAUGUAGAUAGUGACUGACACAGUGCCAGGCUUUUCAGCACAGCAUGCCACAGCAGAAGAGAAGGGCAGGACCAGUAGGGUUAAGAGAAGAGCUUGCUGCCCUUUAUUUAUUAGCCAGCAGUGAAAACUGCAGAAAGUACAAGGAAAUAAUUAAGAAUUUAUAUGUGGAGCCCACCUUCAAGAAACUUAAAAGUCUAAUCAAGAGAAACUAAUUCCUCUGACUUAAGAGGAAACUUGCAAAGUAAUAUUAACAUGAGAAAAAUGGUACACAGUUAAAAGUCAAUGCAAAAGAAACUUUUUACAUUGUUUUGUUGCAACAGAGUUGAUUGUUCUUUUAGUCUUCUAGCCACACAAAUGCUACCUGCUCAACACUGUUGCAGGCAGUGGAAAUGCAACAGUGUUGAGCACCUGCAACAGUGGUGAGCAGGUAGCAUUUGUAACCAGAGCAGACUGACAAACCUGCCCUUAGAGAGCUUACCUUGUAGACGGGGAGAGAGAAGAGAAUAUUCCAGGGUGAUGAAUGGGAAGGAGUGAAAACACAGAGGAAGAUAGGGAAUGGAUUGCGAUUUUAAGAAGAGUGGUUAGGGUUUGUAAUAGGUCUUUUAUUUAAAUCGUAUUAUCAGCCAAUGUAAGGAAACAAGAGAAAAAGGGAUUCGUUUAUUCCUUGGCUGAAGUGGAGCCAGCCAAGCCCUCCUCUGUAGUGCAGGAGAAAGUGAAAAGCAUUUAGUGGAGGAGGGCAAAUGGCGCAGGUGGUAAAGGAAGGAGCAGUGUUUCCUGUUUCCUGGUCCUGGAUGCUUCCUUUGCUCAGGAGUAAAUUUGGUUUUGGGGAGGGUCACUUGGCCUCUGAGAUAAAAUGGGGUGGUCGAGUUAGAGAUGCUAUUCCUUAUUAUGGAACAUGGUUCCAUUCAUCUUCCCCUGAGAGCUCAGCACACACUGUGCUCUUAUUAAGGGCCCUAGUACAUUAUGAACUUGGGAUGCUGGAAUUUUCAAUUGUGAGAAAAAAUGUUGCUCUAUCCUCUUAAAAUCCUGUGAGGUCCUUGUGAUUAAGGAAAGUCUGUCCCCAUCUCUCUCCUGUCUCCAACAAGUUUAUCAGGUUGUUCUUUCAUUCAUUCAUUUAUCCCCCACAUUCAUGGAGUGAUCAAUAUAUAGAGAUGUUUUCUUUUUAAAGCAUAUAUAUUUCUUUAAUUACUGGGAGUUUUUGUUUGUUUCUGUUUUUGUUUUUUAAUGACUAUUAUCUAUUCUUGUCUCGUCUUUUCCUCUGACCCUUCGUUCUUUCCUUCCGGCAGGCCCAGAUCUCCUCUUAGUUGCAUAAGCCUGUCUUUGAUCCUGCUACUUGCUUGCUUGGCUCUAGAGUGAGCGCCUGUGAGACUCUUUCCUCCACCUUUGUUUCCUUCCAUUUUUAUUCCCCCAUCCCAACCCCUAUUCUGAUUAAGUGAAACAGUUUUCUCUAAGAUCACUAGAAAUUUCCAUUUUGCCACCUGCCUGUGGUCUUUUCUAAAUCUUUAUUUUAACUUGCCCACUGAGCUUCUUGGAAAAUCUCCCACCUUGCCUCAUAUUCCUUAAAUGAGAUAAAUGAAAGUGUGUCCUAAUGCCUGCCACACCGAGGCACUCAGCAAAUACUGGUUGGAUGUGAAUGAACUCCAACCAUGUGACUGACCUCAUCUUGGCUCUGUUCCAGCCCAGUGCCCUGCCCUAUGUACAUACCCAGUGUACUUUGACUUGCUUUAUGAAUAAAUAAAGGAAUAAAUUAAUCACUUUUUCUCUGUUUGCUUACACAGUUUUCCCUCCCCUUUCUUAUCUCAAGUAUAUUCUUAAGAACUGUGGGUCCCCAGUAAGGCCACUAAAUAAAUAAAUAAAACUAUUGUAUUAAAGGCUCUCUAUCGAUUAUAUCACACUUCUCUCAGCAACUUGAUGAGAGAAGUGUGAUAUAAUUGUUAUUCUUUACAUUGUUUGUCUUAGAACUCUUAAAUGACUUAUGGGGUCACACAACUAACUGGUAUAUUGUGGAGCCACCAGGUUUACUGAAAUUAUUCUAGAGCAUCUCCUUAUCAGCUCUCUGCCCUUAAAGAAUCCAUUCAUUCUCCUAAUGUCAGUUGUCAGUUUUAUGUUAGUGACACUUAAAUUUAUGGCUUUAACAAUUGACAUUCUAAAGCUGGUACAGUGCUGUUCACCUGUACUCUCAGCUAUUCAGGAGGCUGAGGUAGAAGAGCUUCUUAAGUCCAGAGGUUCAGGGCCAGCCUGGGCAGCAUAGUGACACCCUGACUCUUAAAAAAAUUUUUUUUCAAUUAACAUUUUAUCCUGUUCUUUAGCUGCUGCUCUGGGUUAUCUAGCCACCAUGUUGAACUUGUUUAGAACAGCCAUCAUCAAUAUUACCUCAAAUGGUGCUCCCUUUUCCUGAUAGUGAGAAUCUCACUAUCCUAAUGACUCAGACUCAAAACCAUCUUUAAUUUCUUUUCUCUUUUCUAUUUCCUUAUACGUCAACUGAUAAAGUAUAAUUCCAAGGGGUAUACAAAUACAUGACUAAUCCUUCCAUUCAUCUGCCACAGGUAGAUAGGUAGAAGAGUCGAUCUGAGAAGUGUCCCGGUUACUUCCCUUUAAUUAAUAACUUAUUUUCUCCUGUCACUUUAGAAAUAUACUGUGACAAGACUAAUGAGAACUGUUGAAACUUUUAUAGUUUCUGUGAAACUACUUCUUCACAGUUGUACAUGUUGGAUAAAUGACACAUGUUGCCAACUCACCAAUUCUUCCUACAGUUAGGGCUGAUUUUGUUUUUGCCAAAUUACAUAACCAGAAAUCUCCAGAAGACACGUCCUCAGGUUCUGUUGGUCAGAACUGGGUCACAUACCUAUCCCUAGACCAAUCACUGGCCAUUGGCAUUAAAAGAUUGCAUACCUAGCUUGCACCUGUUGAGCCUCACCCUCUAUAGAAGGGCAGAAGGCUGUCCAGUCGGCAGAAUAAAGGGGGGAUUGGCUGCCAGGAAGAGAAACAACAGGCAGAGUCUGCCAGAACGUUCUUUCUUCAUUUUGGAUUUGUCCAAUUCAGAACAUUCACAUCUUAGCCAACAAUCCUUCUGAAAAUAAAUAUUGUGAUUAUUUGCUUCAAGAGUGGAUUGGGUAUGUGCCAUCAUGGGGCACAGUGGUGCACACCUAUAAUCCCAGUGGCUGGGGAGGCUUAGACAGGAGGAUCAUGAGUUCAAAGCCAGCCUCAGCAAUGGGGAGGUGCUAAGCAACUCAGUGAGACCCUGUCUCUAAUAAAAUAUAAGAUAGGGCUGGGAAUGUGGCUCAGUGGUCGAGUGCCCCUGAGUUCAAUCCUUAGUACCAAAAAAAAAAAGGAUUAUAACUCCUGUGAACUCAGUGACUCAGGAGGCUGAGGCAGGAGAUUCACAAGUUUAAGGCCAGUCUCAGCAACUUAGUGAAACCCUGUCUCAAAAUAGAAUCAAUAGGGUUGGGGGUGUGGCUCAGUGGUAGAGCAUCCCUAGGUUCAGUCCCCAGUACUACAAAAAGAAAAAAAAAAAAAACUUAAUUAUAAUGCAUAGAACAUAUAGAAUAUUUGUCGUAAGGAAAUAAUUUAAGGAGUUAGAAAGGUAUCCUCCCUGUUGUUCUUUAACCCAACAUUUAUGGUAGUAUCAAUAGAUACAGGAACUUGCACUUAAUUUGGCAAUAAUAGCUAAGAGCUUAAAAGAAUUUAAAAAAAAAAAAAGAUUGAUUUGUGAUUUGAUACAGCCAGCCUUCUGCUUGAACUAUCUCACAUAAUCCCUACAACAAUCUAUAAGGGAUGUAUGUUUAUAUUUUCCCUUUUGUAACCACUAGAAAACCAAAGCUAGGAGAGGUUAAGUUACUUCUCCAAUUCAAAACAUGAGUAAUCUCGCAUCUGAGUCAAUGUUCUAAACUGGCGCUAGGCUGCCUUCAGCCUUGGACAAGAAUGAGCUAGCGCCAAAUCCUUCCAGGAUGCACUGUCACUUAUCCCGACACCUGGGGCUCUUGACCUAGUUUUCCCUCUUGCCAAUGGUUUUGCACUGCCUGCCACCACCUCCAACAGUGUGGCACUGUGAUCAGUGAGGGAGGGUGGUGCAGGUCACCCUGACUUCCUGUCCCUAUCUGGGCAGAAAACCAUGUUUGUCCCCCCACUUAGGAGUGAAUCGGGACAGAAAAUGACAGGAGACACCUACUAGAAAAAUAUCCCAAAGCCCACAGAUAUUCUAGAUGAGGUAUUUUGAAUGUGAAUUUUGGUCAUAGUGGUGUAAUUCUGUGAGAGUUAGAAGGAAAUAUUCCGAGAGGAAUAAAACAUGAUCAUAAAAAAAUGACCAUCUCCCGCCUUUCUUAGUCUUGAUGCACUCCUUCUCAUCUUGAGUUUAACUUUGAAUAUUCUGAUGUCUACUUCUGGCUUUAAUAACUGCAAGUUUAAAUUUUAAAAAAAGAAUAAAUGUCGUGAUAAAGCCCCAUUCCCGAAUUCUUCUGCCUUGGGGCAGGACUCUGGCUCUAAAGGACAGGGUUGCUUAUGGUGAUAAAGGUCCUUAAAAUUUCAACAAACACUUAAGAAAAACUACUACUAUUAUUAUUAUUACUACUACUACUACUACAGUGCUGGGGAGGGAACCCAGGGCUGAGCAAUUGCCCUGUACCUCUGAGCUAUGUCCCUAGACCACAAACAUUUAUUGUUAAAUUCCCUCUGUACCAGGCACUCUAUGUGCUAGAGUUUUUCAUUUUUUGUUUUGGUUUGUUAGCUUCCAGGAACUAUUUUUGCUUUGAUAUUUCCCACUCAUGAAGCUUUAAUGGAGCCUUCCUUGAUGGUGACAUUUGCAGCUGCUGUUGGCAUUAUACUAUCAAACAUUUAUCAAGCAACAAGAAAACCCAGGCAGGUGUAUAUGGAGAGGGGAAAAAAAAUGUAGAACUAAACCAUUAAUACUCAAAGAAGAACUGCAUUUGGUUAUUUCUGGCUGUAGGAGAAAGGUAAUAAAAUACCCAGCGGCUCAGGAGGCAGAGGCAGGAGGAUCACCAGUUCAAAGCCAGCCUCAGCAAUUUAGCGAGGCCCUGAGCAACUCGGCAAGACCCUGUCUCUAAAUAAAGUACAAGAAAAGGGCUGGGGAUGUGGCUUAAUGGUUAAGCGCCCCUCGGUUCAGUCCCUGGUGCCAAAAAUAAAUAUAAUAAAAUAAAAACUUUCUUUGAAAAGUUCAAAGAAAGGAGAGAGGUGAGCAGAGAACAAGGAAAUAAAUUAGGCUACUGACGCAUUCAAGUGUUGAGCAGAAAGGAUAAUAGAAUUCAGGAAUAAACGGGUUCUUUGCAAAGUAGCCCCUACUAAAGCUUUCCUUUUCCUGUGUGUUCAUGUGUAGUAUAGAGAAAUUAUUUAGAAAACUUGCUCUGUGUUCAUUUUUGUUUAGCGGAGCUUCUAGGUUUGUAAACUUCCUUCACUCUGCUAACCCUUGUCUCUUUGGGGCUCAGAUCCCAGCUGUCUCACACAAACAGCAUCUCUCAGUAUUAUCUCUUUUAUUGCUUGAUAUUCAGCUCACAUUUACUUUGUCAGACGUUUGGAAGUUACCAGACAGAUGCAGAUUCAGGGCCGUGCCUGCCAAAGUGCUGAGCAGAAAAGAGACUUUCUUUUACACCUUCCAUCUUUUGAGCCUUUGGACCAGCCCUUGGAGUCUUUGCUAAAUAGUAAAAUGGGAGAUGGUGAUUGUUCAGAUGACCAUGGUGCAUUUGCAUUACUGAGUUUGUUGUCUCUAGUUCUAAAAAGAUUUUUUAUAAUUUCCUUAUCGUCAAAGGAGCCGCCUUGAUUUCCUUUGAGAAUGGUUCCCAGCUGACAUUAUAGACCUAGCACAAAAGCAAUUCAUACCCUCGUGAAAUGGCUCUAGCCCAGCAGCUAGCCCAGCAGCGCAGCAAUCCUGCUUCGUUUGUACAUACUAGGCUUUAAUUACAGGUUAAGGAGAUGGAUGGAAAAGAGAGCCCAAAAUACCCACUGCCCCCAAAUUGAGCUCCAUCAGAGAAGCUGAGCACUCUCAACAGAGACCUGCAGGAGCUUCAUGUCAUAACUGGGAGUCUUCCCCGCUAGUUGUUAGAGACAAAGAUAAACAUUUAAGGUUUUGUUUUUUUUAAUAACCCCCAGUAAUUUAAACAUGGCACAAAUAGAACUGUUAGUAAUUCACAAAAUUGUGAGAAUGCCGAAGUACCUUGGACCUAUUGAAAAGCAUCUCAAGACAUAUUUUGGGCCCUUUUUGAUUUACUAUUGUGGACUAUUAUUUAUUGAUUUUUAAAAGAUGAGCACUGUAUUCCAAAUUCAAAAUAGCUGAAAAAGGCAAAUGCUUGCAUAAGUCUGUUAUGUGUUUGUAUUAAAUUGAGAGAAAUCAGUGUAGAGGGAGGAAAGACAGCGCUGAAACAGAUGAAUAUUCUUCAAAGAUUUUGGAAGAUUUUAAUUUUUUUAUAUUAAAGGGGUCCUUUUUAAAUUUUAACUUUUGGGUAUAAUCAGCCUUUCAUUUAAUCUCAUCUUUUAAACUACAAUCAUGUGUGGCUUAACAUUGGAGAUAAAAGUCUGAGAAAUGCAUCUCUAGGCAAUUUUUGUCCUUGUGCUCACACAGACCUACAUGGUUGCGCUCACUACGUACCUCUGCUGCCUAGUGCAGCCUAUUGCUAUGGGAAGUGGUAAGUAUACAUGUAUCUGAAUGUACCUAAACAGAUUUGUUUACACUAUCAUCACCAUGAUCACAAGAGUGAUGUAUGGGGGACAUAUCACUAGGCCAUACAAACUUUUCAGCUCCAUUAGAAUCCUAUGGUACCACCGCUAUGUGUACGGUCCACCAUUGUCUAUUGAGGUAUAUGAGAAUUGAACCCAGGGCUUCACGCAUACUAAGCAUGUGCUCUGCCAUUGAGCUGCGUCCCCAGCCCCACAUGCAGGCCUUACCACUUCCAUUCCUUAGUUCCAAGCACCUUCAUAGCUCUCAGCCUUCUCACUGGACUCCCUGCUUCAGUUUACUCUGAACGUGGCAGAGGGAUCCUUUAACAUGGAAGUUAGAUUACAGUUCCCUUAAGACCCUGUAGUUGCUCCCUAUUUCAGAGUAAGAACUGGAAUCUGUAACAAGAUUCUAUGAGGCCCUGUAUGGCCUUCUCCUUCCCGUUUCCACUCUGGCCUUCCCUGCCCCAGGAGGGCAUUUGCACUAGCUGGUCCUCUGCCUAAAAAACAUCCCCCAGAUUUUAGCACCCUCUUGAAUUUGAGAAGGAUCAAUUUCACCUUUUUGAGCUCUAUCCUGCUUACCCUGUUUAAAACUGCAGCUUUUUUUUUCUUUUUUUCCAAAACACUCAUCAUUAUUUUAUAAUACUGAUUUACCUUAACAUGCUUAUUGUUAAUUAUUCAUUUUCCUCCAAUAGGAUUUGAGCCCCACAAGAAUAAGGAGCUUUGUUUUGUUUCUCCAGGUACUUAGAACUGCAUAUAGUAGGCACUAAGUAAACAUUUGUUCAAUGAACUAUAGAUAGGUUGAAACUGCAAUUCAAGUUACCCAUCUAAAUCUUUAUUUUUAAAAAUUGUGUCAUGCUGCUAUAAGAGCAGGAGAGAAGAAUCACUUCUAUGUGAAGGAAAAGUUGAACAAACCUGUUCUCCAGUGGAGGAAACGAUUGUGUUCACAGUAAACUAUUAAUAUAAUAUCAGAUGAGAUUUAUGAAGACAAAGUUCCAUGGUAACUAAAUUCUGCCAGAGGUAGACUUUAACUGGGUCUAUAAGGAGCAAUUGGAUUUUAACGUCUAAAAAGUGAAAGACAAGCAGAGCCCAGAGACUAUGUAAGUAACUAGUACACUCAAGGAAUAACUAGGAAACUGGUAAACUAGAAUUGAAGCCAUGUUAGCAGCCUUGACUAUGUUGGUAUGGAGUUUGGGUGUCUCCGUCAAAGAUUUUUGAACGUGGGGUGAUGCUUUAGCGCCCUCUGCAUUAGGAAGAUGACCUUUGGGGCGUGGAUGAGAGCGGUGGGAAGCCAGAAGAUUCGGGAUACCAGUCUUACUCUAGGUGUCAAAGUCAGUUGUUAUGGGACUGUUUACUUUUUAAAGGCGAUUGAAUAUUGAUUUUCUGUGUUGGCUGGAAUAACAUGGGCUCAUAGGCAGUGCCUGCGAGAGACACCUGCUGAGUUUGUGUAUGGCGACUUGCAACAGAGUGAAGGGCGCUGGCAUGUGUCCUACCUGCACAUGCCAGAGCCGGCCAUGUCUGCCAGUGGCAAAGCAGAAUUAAAAGGGAUUAAGAAUGCUGAAUUGUCUCACCAUUAGAAACCAGGCGAGAGUUUCAAGUUUUAAAUGCUAGCAUUCGAGUAUGUAAAGCCUCUCCCAAGGUCCCUGUACAGGAUCAUUUCUGAUUUUGGAACUCUCAGGCUUCCCUUGUCCUGAAUUUGCACACCACUUUUCACAGAAUAGAAAUUCUCAAUGAUGACAUUGACUUUCUUCUUCUCCUUCUCCAGAUCUGGGUCUCUCUCUGUUUCCCAGGCUGUUCUUAAACUCCUGGCCCAAGCAGUCCUCCUGCCUUAGCUUCUUGAGUAGCAAGAACCACAGGUGUGUCCCACUUUGUGUGUGUGUGUGUGUGUGUGUGUUUUAAGCACAGAGUGAACGUUUUAGAUGAGGAGGCUGAACCUUCUGGGUUAGCCUUGGGAAAAACAAAUCAAAAUGAUGAAGCAGUUGGUAUUCGGGCUUCUUGUAGGCUUGAUGGACUCCUGUAUAAUUUAACAACUCAUUAAUUUCUGAAGUCUUUCAAAUAAUAAUUUAACUAAAAACUCUCCCAUAGUGGUUAAAAGACUGGGCUUGAGGUUCAGCAGCCUAAAUUUGAAUCCCAGCUUUGCCCCCCACUAGUCUGUGAAGUCAGCCCUUGGAUUUUUAUCUGUGAAAUGAGAUCCAUGAUAGUUCUUUCACUGUUAUCUAAGGCUUGAAUGAAGUAAUGUGUGGUGCUUUGCACAGAGAGAGGAGUGAGUAAAUAAAUGUUAGUUUAAUGGAUUGCAUUAAACUAGACCCGUAUGGGAUGAACUCGCCUUUCUGUGCUCAGUGCCUGUAGUAGUCUAAGACAAGUGCUUGCAGAUGUUCUCUUUCCUGUUCGUUCCAAGAUUGGUUCAUUUACCAAAAGCAACAAUGAAUGAAUGUUCAAGAUAUCCUAAUAUAAGGCUGAAUGAAGUCCUACAAAUCAAUAUAAGUGAUAUUUUAGUCUUGCUGACUAAAAGCAGACCUAAGUAAUGGACUCUAAAAUACUUAAUGCAAAGACACCAUGUAUUAUGACUUUCAUGUGGGAAAAAUAUAUAACAGGAUUACAUUUUUGUUUAAUAUGUAGUGUACAUUUUAUUUUACUUGUAUAAAACUAAUACAUCUAGAUUCUGACUCCAGGGGGUUUACAGAUGAUUCAAUAAGUUCCAGCUUUUUGUUUUGUUUUGUUUUGUGAUACUGGCUGGGCAGUGCUUUACCCCUGAGCCACACCCCCAGCCCUCAAGUGCUAGUUCUUUAGGAGACCCAUAAAAACAGAUUGGUCCUUUAAAAAAGUAAGUUAAGAGUCCCAAUACAGUUGAAAUGAUUGACAUUUGGGUAUCAUGUAGCUUAGUAUAAUAGUACAUUUCCAAAGUAAAGAUCAAGUUCAUUUUAAGUAAAGCAACCUGUGUAAUUAGUAUUAAAAAAAAAAAAAAGGAAGAAACAAUGGAUACGUGCUUUACAGAAAUAUUUAUCAUUAUGUUCCUUAAAAUAGUAAAUACCCCAGUACAUUUGAUAUAUAGAUUAAUGUGCUUCAGCAGUAUAUUUUGGCUAUGUAUCAGGUAAUCUGUUAGGCUAUGGCCAUAUGAAUAUGACUCCUGCCCCUUAGUAGCCUAUAGUCUAAUGGGGAGGUAUUUCUCUAAGACAACCUAAAUUGUUUCUGGUAAAUACUGUACAUUAAAAAUAUUUACAGUACACUUCUGCAGGAAUGUAAAGGAACAUCUAUCUUAGCUUACGGGACAGCCAGGAAAGUUUCCCAUAGGGCAUACGUUCUUGGAAGAUUCCUGAACAUUUGGAUAGCUAGGAAGAAGAGCUUUCUUCCUUUCUUGUCAGCAGGGGCUUCUCUAUAUGGCAGGGCAGUAAUAGAGGUAGCUGAGGCAUCUGGUUUGAAGCCCAGAGUUACUAAGGACAGGAUGUGCCACAGAGAAUCUCAUAUGCCAAGUCCAAGGAGCUUGGGUUUUCUGUCCUAUACAGAUGGGGAUUAACUAGCUUUAAGUAAGGGAGUGGUGUGAUCAGGUUUUACUCUCAGGUCGAUGUUGGCAGAGGUUUAGAGGAUGGAUUCCAUUCAUAAACAGCUUUACAGAGUAUUUAUAAUCAGAUGGCAUAUGGAGGGCUCCUAGGGUUCACUCUUUCUAAAUUCCAAGAAACUCACUCAAAGAUAAAGAAACUACUUUACAUACCCAAAGAGGAAAAUAGUUGUAAUCACUUUUAUCUUGAGGAGCUUAACACAUCUUAGGUUUAUAUUCAGAGGCAGAAUUCUUUAAAUGUCAAAUAAAUUUAAAGAGUCUUUGGAAAGCUGGGGAUGUGGCCCAGCAGUAGAGCAUGUUCUUGACAUGUGCAUGGCCCUGGGUUACAUCCCCAUCAUCAAAAAGUAAAUAAAAUCAUCUUUGGAAACAGACUUUAGGUCAAGGUUGUACACUUAACCAAGCACAUGUUCUCUAAUAGCCUUUAUUUGGGAGGGUUGGUUUUGUUUUGUUUUAUUUUUUCAUUUAUUGGGCAGAGACUCAGUACAGUUAUAAACUUCCCCUUGAUUUUCUUGAUAUUCUUUAAUACCAUUUUUACCACUCUUUGAAUUAUCAAGAUAUAUUUUGAAAAGGAAAAGGAUUAUCAAAUAUCAGUUUUUCUGACCCUAAAGAAUACAUUUUGACUACUAAAUUAGUAAUCCUUUGAAUAUUGUCCAAAUAGUUCUUCAGCAUGCUGUCUUAGUCUUCUCUGGUUGCUGUAACAAAAGACCUCAGAGUGGGUGGCUUACAAUAGAAAUUUGUUUUCUCACACUUGGGGUGGCCAGAAGUCCAAGAAAGGUGCCUGCAGAUGUGUUUCUGGCAAGGGCUCUCUUCCUGGCUUGCAGAUAGUUGCCCUCUUGCCACCUGGUCACAUGGCCUUUCUCUGGUAUGCUUGCUCUUCCCCUUCUCUGGGCACCAAUCCUGUGGGAUUAGGGCCCCACCCUUAUGACCUCACUUAAUCUUAAUUGCCUUCGAAGUACUGAAGUACUGUAUCUCCAAAUGCGUCAGAUGGAGCAUGAGUGUUUCAACAUAUGAACUGGGAGGUGCGGUGGUAAGAAGACAUAAUUUAGUCUAGAACAGAGGCCAGAUAGACACUUUUCAAAGAAGUUAAUAUAAUCUUAAGUAUAUAUAGUUUAAUUUUGAAAUCUUUGAGUUUUUAAAGCUGGUUAUGCUUAAGGAAAACUUUUCAAGGCAACAAAGAAAAACAGUCCCAAACAAACAAACAAAUAAAAAACAACUUGCUAAUAGCUGUGACAUUUUAGCAAAAUUGCAUGCUAGAUAAUCCUUCAUUAGCUGUAGGAAGGUUUAUUUUCAAAGCUUUUAUUUCUGCAUGUUCUAUUAUCUUUAAUGCCUGGCAUUGUAAUUGUGUAGCAGGGAGUGAAUAGUUAUAAAUACAGAGCUCUUACAGUGCCCUCCUGUACUUGGUGAUCAGUGUGGCAGCAAAACUUGCAGAAGCUAAAGGUGGUUGUGUCUUAGCCUCUUCUUUUAUUUGGCUUUAGAACAAUUAAAGUAAAGAUUGCUGGGAAUUUUAGUUGUAAAUUGAAUUCAGACCAUUUGUGUGUGUCAAUCUGAAUGAAAGAUUUUUAAGCUGAGCAACAUGCCAAAAUCACACUUUGAGUUGAAGCAAAACUUAGAAAUUGUAUGAACCAGCCAGGCACAGUGGUGCAUGCACGUAUUCCCUGGGUAACUCAGUGAGACCCUGUCUCAAGAUUAAAAAAAAAAAAAAAAAUUUAAAGGACUGGGGUGUAGCUCAGUGGUAGAGCACUUGUCUCCUAUGUGUGAGCUUCUUGGUUCAAUCCCUACUACUGCUUUAAAAAAAUUAAUUUAAAAAAGAAAGGAAGUUAAAGAAGAAAAGAAGAAAGGAAAGAAAGAGUAUCUCAACCAGCCCAACACCAGGAAACUGGGGCUUAGAAAAAAAAAAAUUUAACUUGAUCAAGACCACAGAGCCAGACUUCCAUCUUCCCAUUCAGAAUUCUUUUCACUAUACCAUGUUUCCACCCAGCUGUCAAGGAAUUCACCUAGGCUACCACGGCACAGUUACCAACUCAUUAUGCUUAAACUACUUGGGAACUCCUUGAGCCCCUCUUAGAUCCAUUUCAAAUCUAAAAUUCUGAUUAUAAAGGGAAUGUAACACCCUGGCGCAGAGGCACACACCUGUAAUCCCAGCAACUCGGCAGGCUGAGGCAAGAGGAUCUUGAGUUCAAAGGCAGCCUCAGCAACAGCGAGGCACUAAGCAACUCAGUGAGACCUUGUUUCUAAAUAAACUACAAGAUAGGGCUGGGGAUGUGGCACAGUGGUUGAGUGCCCCUGAAUUCAAUCUGUGGUACCAAAAAAAUAAAAUAAAGGGAAUGUAACAACAUAUAUGAAACAUGGAUCAAUUUAUCAACUAAAAGAUCAGUUUGUUCAUUCUAUUACUUUUCCAUUUCCUUUUUAAAAAAUAUAUUUCCAAAGAUAGACAGUGGCUGCCUCUAUUUUCCCCUUUAUAACGACAUGAAGCAAAUGUCAGAGUGAUCUUUAAAAAAUAUAAGAACCUAAAUUUUAUUCCUGUUAGUAUUCUUUUGAUUACUCACCUCAAUUUGUUGGACUUCAGGCAGUCAUUUUACUCUUGAUUAUUUAUUGAGUGGGGUAAAUGCCUAAUUAUAGAAAUUCAAUAUUAUAUGUUUAGCAUUAGUCUAGCAUUCACUAAGGAUCCAACUUUGGGGUGUUCCCGAAGGGGUUGUCCUUAGCUGUGUGACUCCUCUGCAGUCUUCCCUGGAAUCACCACAGCUCCUUGACCUUCUUAUCAGCCUGCACAAGCGAUUUGCAGACCUGACCUGGCUCCAAAAUCCGAGUCUCCCCAAUCUCUGCUUCUUUCUACCUGCUGUGUGUCUCCUCCACCUGAACGCCGAUCUAGCACUUAAAAUCAAUUUGGCUAGAAAACACUCUUCAUCUUUUCCCCCAUUAAACCUGUUGCAACCAGAGAUUCUCUAUUUUUGUUCAGAGAACAAACGUCCUGUCCUUCCUGUCAUUUGCUGUGAAGCCUCAGAGCUAAUUCUGUCUUUUCUGAGCUGCACAGCCAAUCAACUGCUCAUUUCAUCACACUACUAUUAUGUUUCUUGCAUCCAGAUUCAUGGACUCACGGCGAGAUAUCUACCUCUGCUUUCGAUUUUAUUGCCAAUAUUCUAGAAUAAACUUUCUUGUUUGAGAUCCCUCCCUUGACCCCCGCCCCUCCCCACUUCAGUCUCCUAUUCUAACUCAGUCCUUAACAAACAUCUUUUUUCCCCCAGUGCUGGUCAUUGAACCCAGGGGCACUUUUCCAAUGAGCUACAUCCCCAACACCUUUCAUUUUUUUAUUUAGAGAUUUCACUAAAUUGCUCAGGCUAGCCUCACAUUUGCAAUCCUCCUGCUUCAGCUUCCAGACUUGCUGAGAUUAAAGGCUUGGGCUACCACACCCAGAUUAGCCAUCACCAUUUCUUGGCUGGACUUUUACAGUGGCUUCUUUCAGGUCUCCUUGGGGCUUUUUGUUUGUUUGUUUUUAUUUGGUUUUAACUUUUUUAACUGGUCCAUAAAAACAAAAAUAUAUAUAUGGAGUAUCCUGAAGAUAUAAACCUCUCUACAAACAUUUAUCAUUUAUUUUUUUUUUAAGAGAGAGAGAGAGAGAGAGAGAGAGAGAGAGAGAGAGAAUUUCAAUAUGUAUUUUUCAGUUUUUGGCAGACACAACAUCUUUGUUUGUAUGUGGUGCUGAGGAUUGAACCCGGGCCGCACGCAUGCCAGGCGAGCGCGCUACCGCUUGAGCCACAUCCUCAGCCCCCAUUUAUCAUUUCUUUACAGUGAAAAUGCUUAAAAUCAUUCUUCUCACUUUUUGAAAUAUAUAGUAUGUUUUCAUUAUCCAUAGUCACAUUCUAUGCAAUCACACGCUAGAACUUCUUGUUCCCAUCUCACUGUACUUAGUGUCCAUUGAUGAUCCUCUCCCCUACUCUCCCCAGCCUCUUUACUCUAAACUUCUUUGAGAUCAACUUUUAUAGAUUGUAGAUAUGAGUGAGAUCAUCUGGUGCUUGUCUUUCUGUGCUUAGCUUACUUCACUUAAUAUAAUGAUCUUCAGUCCCAUCUGUGUUGCUACAAAUGACAGGAUUUUAUCCUUUUUAUAGAUGAAUAGUAUUUCGUUACAUAUAUGUACCACAUUCUCCUUAUUUAUCAAUUGAUACGCACUUAGGUUGCUUCCAUUUCUUGGCCAUUGUGAAUAGUGCUUCAAGAAACAUGGGCGGGCUAAUGUCUCUUCAACAUACUGGUUUCACUUCCUGUGGAUACAUACUCAGUAGUGGGAUUGUUGGAUCAUAUGGUAGUUCUAUUGUAAAUUUUUUGAGGAACCUCCAUAUUGUUUUCCAUAACGACUGUACUAAUUUGAAUCUCACCAACAAGAGUUCCCUUUUCAUCCUCUUGUUACUUUUUAUGUUUCUUAGAAUAUCAUUCUUGGGCUGGGUUGUGGCUCAGUGGGAAAGUGCUUGCCUAGCAUGUGUGAGGUAGUGGGUUCGAAUUUCAGCAUCACAUAUAAAUAAAUAAAAUAAAGGUCCACCAACAACUAAAAAAUAAUAAUAAGUCAUUUAAAAAAAGAAUACCGGAGGCUGAGUUUGGCCAGCCUCAGCAAGUUAGGGAGGCCCUAAGCAACUUAGUGAGAUCCUGUCUCAAAAAAAGGACUGGGAAUAUGGCUCAGUGGUAAAGCACCCCUGUGUUCAAUCCUCAGUACCUUAGUAAAUAAGAAGGUAUAAGGUAGCAUCUUUCUGAGAUUAAAGAAAAAUCACAUUAAGACAUAAAAAUUCUUCAAAAUUACAAAAGUAUAAUUUAUAUAGAAUUAAGUUGUUACAAUUGAACUAUUACUUGAUAUAUAAUCACCCAUACUUACAAAACAGAUGUGACAGGCACAGUAGUCUCUUAUAAUUUUUAGAAAAUAAAUUUUUGAGCCAGACAUGGGGAUGCAUACCUGUAAUCACAACAACUUGAAAGGCUGAGGCAGGAGGAUUGCAAAUUCAAGAAGAGCCUCAGCAACUUAGCAAGACCCUAAGUAACAAAAAAAAAAAAAAAAACAUUCAUGCUGCAGUGAGUUGAUAUCUCAUUAUGCUUUUGAUCUGCCUUUCCCUGAUGAAUAGUGAUGUUAAUUUUUUUCAUGUACUGGUUUGUCAUUUAUAUGUCUUCUUUUGAGAAGUGUCUAUUUAGGUUUAUUGCCCAUUUUUUAAUAGAGUUAUUUUAGUUUUUGCUAUGGAGGUUUUUUUGUUUGUUUUUUAAUUCCUCCUGUAUCCUGGGUGUUGACCACUUUGUCAGCUGUAGAGUUCACAAAUAUUCUCUCCCUUCUGAAGGUUGUUUCUUUACUCUGUAGAUUGUUUCCAUUGCUGUCGCAGAAGCUUUUUAGUUUGAUCUAAUCUGAUUUGUCUCUCUUUGCUUCUGUUUCAUGUGCCUUCGGGAUCUUGCCCCCAAGUUUCUUGCCCCUUCUCUGUACUGAAGCGAACCCCUGUGUUUUCUUCUAGUAUUUUCAUGGUUUCAGGUCUUACAUUUAAGUCUCUUAAUUCAUUUUGAGUUAAUUUUUGUAACUGUGAGAGAUCAAGGUCCAAUUUCAUUCUUCUGCAUAUGAAUAUAGAUUUUUCUUUCUUUUUAGAUUUCUCUCUUUUUUUUUUUUUUUUUUGACCUUUCUCCUAUACAAUCUAUUUUCCACAGAGCAGUCCAGAUGACUUUUAAAUAUAGGUCACUUCCUUACCAAAUGGCCUCAGUGGCUUCUCAUCUCACUUACUUAAAAAAAAAAAAAAAUCCAAAGUUUUUUUUAUAUAUUGACAAAUUAUAAGGUAUACAAGUGAUAUUUUAUAAGGAUACAAUUUGGAAUGAUUAAAUUAAGAAAAUUAACAUAAAUCUCACAUUUUAUUUAUUCUUUCUGUCCAACUGAAACUAUCUUUAUUUUUGUUGUUGUUUUGUUGUUUUGUUUUUUUGUUUUUAUAUCAGGGAUUGAAUUCAGUGGCGCUUAACCUGUGAGCCACAUCCCCAGCCCUUUUUUUUAAAGAGACAACAGGGUCUCAUCAAGUUGCUUAGGGCCUUGCUAAGUUGCUGAGGCUGGCUUUGAACCUGCGAUCUUCCUGCCCUUGCGACUGAGAUUACAGGUGUGCACCACCAUGUCUGGCUAAAACUGUCUUUUUUCCCAGCAUCUCCCCAUUCUCCUAACGUCAGGGUCUCUGGUAAUCAUCGUUCUAUUUGGCUUCUGUGAGUUCAAAGUUGCUUUAGAGUCCAUGCAUAAGUACCGUAUUUCUCUCCCUGUGCCUGGAUUUUAAAUCUGUCUUAAUUUUGUCGGGGAAGGCCUUAGCCCCUCUGCUGCAUUGUCACAUCACCGUUGCUCACUGUGCUCUGCCCACCUUUGCCUGUUGGUUGUCCGGGCUUACCCCAAACAAUCUUGCCCUCCCCUCUGCCUGGAGCACCCUUUCCUGCUGUGGAUCUUCAGAGCUUACUCCUGCUUUUUUCAUCUUCACAUCUGUUUCCUUAUCUGCCAGAACCGGUCUGUCAAUUGACCCUGUUUCAUUUAAGUUUUUCUUCUUAAUAUUUGUUAGUAAAUGCCAUAUCCAUAUGUGUCUUCCUCCAGUAGAAUAUAAGCUCAGGAAGAACGUAAAGCCUUGUUCAGUGCUGGACACAUACUAGGUACUUAAUAUAUAUUGGCUGGGGCUGGGGCUCAUUGGUGGAGUGCUUGCCUCACAUGUGUGAGGCACUGGGUUCAAUUCUCAGCACCUCAUAUAAAUAAAUGAAUAAAAUAAUUCCAUCAACAACUAAAAAAGUUUUUUUGAAAUAUAUAUUUGAUGAAUGAAUGAAUGUGUAAAUAAAUUAAUAAAGCAAUUAACCAAAAGAAAAUUUAAGAAAAAUGUUAGGGAUCUUUAAAAUUUUUUCAAUAUAGGAUAUAAAUGAAUAUUAAACAAAUUUGAGAAACUUUAAGAGUCAAUUAUUAUUAGUGUGUAUUAUAAUUAUUCAGUUUUCAUAUCAUAUUCUUGAUAUAUAUGAAUAUAGUCUAUAAUAAAGACUUCAGAAGUUGGUCAAAUCUGUUAGAAUAACUUGGAAUUUUUAUAGACAGAUGAUCACCAUUUUUGUCCUGGUCUUGAUUUUAAGACCCACGUAAAGUAUCUUUUUUUAUGAAAUAAAUGUAUAGCUGAUCUCAAGUUGCUGGCCUCAUGUCAAAGUAGUAGACAGAACAAAAUAGAGAUAUUGAGUAUUAAAUUUAAAGAACCCAACGGAGCCUUUCCUUUCCCAUCUGUCUCUUUUUUUUUUUUUUUAAGAGAGAAAAGUAAUACUUAGUAAUAAACCAAAACAAUUGAUACGUUUACUUUUUAGCAUACAUAGAUAAAUCCAUAAGGACUGUCUAGAAGAAUCUUCAGGUGACCUGGGAGUGGCCUAAAGAUUAUCAUUAUUAUGAACAUCAAUAAAUCUGGCCACUUCUGCAUUAUCCGACAAGUAGAACUUAGAUGACCGAAAGGUCCCUUUCCAGCCAUCAAAUGCCAUGAUCUCUGUACAUGAUGGGCUGUCUGAUCAUAGUGCAUAAAAGCAACUGUCAUGUAAUUUUAUUUUCACUGUGAAAGUACCAUAAAAGCAGUUUCCUGACCUCAUAAUAAUAGUUAAAUAUUGGUGGCAGACUCAAGCAACAACUAACAAAAAUAAGUUUUCUUUUAGUUUCUUUGAAGAUAAUUCUUUUCAAGUCUGUAUGGAGGGUUGCAUGGUAGGAAUAGAGGGUUGAGGAAAACCAGCAUUGUGCUAGUCCUUACUGUGUGGCUUUGGAAAAGUCAUGCCACCUAUUUAUAGUUCACUUUUUAUUCCUAUAAAAUGGAAGAUUUUUUUUAACCUGGUCUAGUCUAUUCUCUGUGAGAAAGAUAAUUAAUAAAAUAAGUUAUUUACAGAGAUACAUUUACUGUGAAGCAUAAGAUCUAGGAUCCCUUAUUUGCCCCAGACCCUUCAAAGACCCUGCCUUACACAUGCUGUGCAAGCACUCCAGCACUGAGCUACAUCCCCAGGCUUCUUGUUGUUGUUUUGUUUUGAGACAAGGUCUUGGUAAGUUGCUGAGGCUGGCCUCAAGCUUUUGAUUUUCCUUCCUCAACCUCCCAGAUCUCCAGAAUUUCAGGUGUAUACCAUUGCACCUGGCUUAUAUUCCUCUUCCUUAAAGAGGUCUCCAGUCCUAAAAAGAACUGAAUCCAUCACUAUGUAUUUAAGUUAUGAGAUCCUUGGUAAGAAUGAUGACACAGAAAUCCAAUCUUACAUUAAAUUAUGAUUUUCUUGAUUAUUCUCCAAAACAUAGCAAUUGUUUGGUGUUCUAAAGACUGACUUGGGCAAUAUGGUUCAGGGCAAAGCCUUCAGGACUAGGAAAUCAGAAGUCUUGGGUUUGAAUUUGAAGUAACAUUGCACAUAAGUAGUGCUUAGCGUUCCUGAGAUUCAAAGGCACCAAAAACAUACAUUGGAGAAAAGAUAGCCUCUUCAACAAAUGGUGCUAUGAAAACUGGAAAUUCAUAUGCAGCAAAAUGAAAUUAAGCCUCUAUCUCUCACCAUGCACAAAACUCAACUCAAUGUGGAUCAAGGACCGAGGAAUUAGACCAGAGACCCUGCACCUAAUAGAAGAAAAAGUAGGCCCAAAUAUUCAUCAUGUCGGAUUAGGCCCCACUUCCUCAACAAGACUCCUAUAGUGCAAGAAAUAAAAUCAAACAUUAAUAAAUGGGAUGGAUUCAAACUGAAAAGCUUCUCAGCAAAAGAAACAAUCAGUGAGGUAAAGAAAGAGCCUACAGAAUGGGACCAAAUUUUUACCCCAUGCACAUCAGAUAGGGCACUAAUCUCUAGGCUUAACACCAAAAUAAAUAAAUAAAUAACCCAAUCAAUAAAUGGGCUAAGGAACUGAACAGAAACGUCUCAGAAGAUGAUAUAAAAUUGAUCAACAAAUAUAUGAAAAAAAAUGUUCAAUAUCUCUAGCAAUUACAGAAAUGCAAAUCAAAACUAAGGUUUCAUCUCACUCCAGUCAGAAUGCAGCUAUUAAGAAUACAAACAACAAUAAAUGUUGGCGAGGAUGUGGGGAAAACGGCACACUCAUAUAUUGCUGGUGGGAUUGCAAAUUGGUGCAACCAAUAUGGAAAGCAGUUUGGAGAUUCCUGGAAAACUUGGAUUGGUACCACCAUUUGACCCAGCUAUCCCACUCCUCAGUUUAUACCCAGUGGACUUAAAAACAGCAUACUAUAGUGUCGCAGCCACAACAAUGUUUAUAGCAACACAUUUCACAAUAGCUAAACUGUGGAACCAACCUAGAUGCCCUUCAAUAAAUAAAUGGAUAAAGAAACUGUGGUAUAUAUAUACACAAAGGGAUAUUUCUCAGCAUUAAAAGAGAAUAAAAUCAUGGCAUUUGCAGAUAAAUGGAUGAAGUUAGAGAAUAUCAUGUUUUGUGAAGUAAGCCAGUUCCCAAAAACCAAGGGAUGAGUGUUUUCUCUGAUAUGUGGAUGUUGAUCCAUAAUGGGGUGAAGGGGAGCAUGGGAGGAAUGUAGGAACUUUGGAUAGGGCAAAGGAGAGGGAGGGGAAGAGAGGGGUCAUGGGGGUAGGAAAGAUGGUAGAAUGAGAUGGACAUCAUUACCCUAAGUACACGUAUGAAGACACGAAUGGUGUGACUGUACUUUGUGUACAACCAGAGACAUGAAAAAUUGUGCUCUAUGUGUGUCUAUGAAUCAAAAUGCAUUCUGCUGUCAUGUAAGACAAAUUAGAAUAAAUAAAUAAAUUUAAAAUAAAAAAUAAUGAAAAAAAAGUUGAAAUGGCUAAUCUUUAAAAUUUUUUUCCAAUAUGAAACAUUCUAAUACUUAUUGCCUUUUUUUUUGAGGUUUUUUUUUUUAUUGGUUGUUCAAAACAUUACAAAGCUCUUGACAUGUCAUAUUUCAUACAUUAGAUUCAAAUGGGUUAUGAACUCCCAUUUUUACCCCAAAUACAGAUUGCAGAAUCACAUCGGUUACACAUCCAUAUUUNUCUUCAGGGAAUAGUCUGAGAAGGGCAAUAGCUGGGUCAAAUGGUGGUUCCAUUCCCAGCUUUCCCAGGAAUCUCCAUACUGCUUUCCAAAUUGGCCGCACCAAUUUGCAGUCCCACCAGCAAUGUACAAGAGUACCCUUACUUAUUGCCUUUUUAAUGUUACAAUAUUCUGGGGUACUCAAAUUAGUUGGCUCCUGGUUUAUUGUUGAAGAGGUGUUACUGAAACAUUUGAAAGGCAACUAAGAUCCUCUGUGAAUCAUCUUUCACGAAAGCCUCUAGGAAACGGGAAAUUAUGAAAAAAAAUGUAUAUUUCUACUCUCUACCAAGUGAUCUCUCUUAAAUUGUUAUAAUAUCUGUGAAAAAUAAUUUAUUUGAUUACCAUUGUUUGCAGGUUUCCAUUUCUUAGAAAAAUGAGUGAACAACACUAUUUUAGUUGCUUGUCUCUGAAAUCUACUCUAAGCUAGCUGGAUUGUCCUGUUGGCCCAGUGGCCCAAGACCCUGAUGGUCUACAUUCUUGGCACAGUUCUCAGUUAUCACUGUAAAUGUAACCCUUGAAGUUCCAAGAGGUCAAGUAAGUGGGAAAAAAUGAUUUCUGUAUAUAUCAUUUUAGUCAAUUUUUAAAAUGCUAUCCUCUUGGAAGGAAAAAUAUGUCUUGUUUAUGUUUGGGGAGGAAAAAGAAUUCAAAUUAUCAUUUUUAAUUCCAAGAAUGGAGUGGAAAGAAAAGGCGAUUUCAACAGAUUUUUGUGGAGUAUAUGCUAUAUACAGAUGCUAUAGGUGGGCUGGGGUUGUGGCUCAGUGGCAGAGCACUUGCCUAGCACAUGUGAGGCAGUUUAUUAAAUAAAUAAAAUAAAGGUCCAUCAACAACUAAAAAUAUGUAUAUAUAUUAAAAAAAAAGAUACUUUAGGUCCUAGCAGAUUCACUUGUAGGUUAUAUAUGCUCUAGAGAAAUGAAAACAUGUCCACAUAAAAACUUGUACACAAAUGAUUAUGUCAGCAUUAUCCAUGAUAAUCAAAAAGUGGACAGGGCUGGGGAGUUGUGGCUCAAUGGUAGAGCGCUUGCCUCACAUGUGUGAGGCACUGGGUUAAAUUCUCAGUACCACAUAUAAAUAAAUGAAUAAAAUAAAGGUUCGUCAACAAGAAAAAAAUAUAUUUUAAAAAAAGUGGAAAGAGUCCAGAUGUCCAUCAACUGAUGCAUAGGUAAGAAAAAUAUGGUGUCUUCAUAUAAUGGAAUAUAAUUUGGCAAUAACUGGAGUGAAAUACUGAGCCAGGCAGUACACUAAGUGUUAAAAACAUUACGCUAAGUGAAAGAAGCCAGCCUUAAAUGACCGCAUCCUAUUAUUCUGUUCUUAUGAAAUAUCCAGAGGAGGGAGAUCUUACAGAGAUAGAAAGCAGAUUAGUGUUUGCUUAAGCUGGAGGUAGGAAGAUGAUGGCUAAAGGGUACAGGGGUUUUUGUUUGUUUGAUAAUGUAAAUGUUCUAAAAGUAACUGUGGUGUUAUCUGUAAAUAUACUAAAAACCAUUGAGUUGUUCACUUCCAAUGGACAAAUUAUAUAUUUGAAUUAUAUCUCAUGAAAGCAGAGAUAUUUUUUUAAAAGAAAACUUGAAGAUGCAGGGAUAGAUCCAAAUAGACAUUCCCCUACUCUGAAGAGGUACUUGACAUCCAUCAGAGCAUUGAUACCUGUGAAUUUAAAACUGAAGGAUACAAGAAUAGAGAAAAUGAUAGGUUUUAUAGGAAAAGAUGACAUUUAGCUGGACUGUGAGUGUGGGUGGUAUUGGGACAGUACAGACAGGGGAACUAGCACAAAGAAAUCAAGUAUGAAAUGAAAUGAAAAGCAUGAAGGGGUAUGUGAUGGAAUAGUAAUUCAUUUUUUCCCCAAUUACUGAGUUUUAGAAUUUAAGUUAGAGUAAAAGUUAUACUGUAGGAAGGAUUCUGCAUUCUUUGUACUUUGAAGGAUUUUAAGCAGAAAUGUGAUAUUGUCUGAACUGUGUGCUUUAGGAAGACGAUUAAGGUAAUACUGUUUUUAAGAUGAAUUGCAGAAAAGAUAGAAUCGAGGGUGAAAGAGCAGCAAGCCGAGGAGAGAAAACUAAUGCCACAGAAUGGAGAGUUAAAAACGUGUGGGGAGAAAUAUUUGAAGCAGAAUUGAGGAUUAAUUGAGUGUAAGGGACAAGGGAAAAGAAGAGUUGAAGUUAAUGUGAGGAGUUUGUGAGCCAUUUAGGGGAGAAGCCAAAUAGAUGUUUUAAAACGUGGGACUGAGGCUUACAAUAGGGGUCGGGAUCACCAGUGACACAGUGUCAUUCAAUACCAUUAAAUGGACAGAAGUGAAGAUAGCAGCUUGCACUUAUGCAGAGAACUUGGCUGAUCCUUGGAGGAACACACCAUUGAGGUCAUCAGAGAGAAGCCAAGGAACUUAGCAGAAAUAGUUCAUGGGUCAGUUUCUUGGGAUGCUGGAGACAUUUUUGGAGUGAGAAGGAAGGUAUUGAAAUGGAAGGAAACAGAAAGGACCCUUUAGGUUUAAUGCAUCAAACUCCAGAAUACAAGCUUUAGCCCCCUAGCAAUGCAGUGUCCUAAAAAUAAGAAAAGGUAAAAUGGAGAAGUUUAAUUCCUAGAAAUCCAAGGGAGUUCAUUUUAAGACAUUUAUAGAGAUGUGCAGCCAAAGAUGCAGAGAGGAUGCAUUUUUAAAAAAUUGUGUAAAAAUGAAUAAGCAUUUAAAGAGAAGGUAAAUAGUAAGCCCACAUGGCCAGUAGCAUGAGAAUGCUAUUUCCUAGGAGCAAACAUCUCUUGCAUUUGAAACUGGGCAUGAGGAUGGUGACAUAUGCCUUAUUUAAAACUAUUUUCUUAGGAACAUAGUAUCUAGUGUUGUAUAGGGUCAUAAGGAACAUUUUAAUUCAUUGAAGGUGUAGUCAGACUAGAAGAGCAAGGUAGACAUGUAAACAUUCCAACAAUUGAUUGGUGUUUUAGUCAGUUUUUUUGCUGCUAUGACUAAAAGAACAAGUAGAGGAAGAAAGGUUUAUUUGGGGGCUCACAGUUUCAGACAUAUCAAUCCAUAGACAGCAGGCUCCAUUCCUUGGGGCAUCAUGGCAGAAGAGCAUGGCAGAGGGAAUCAGCUCACAUGGUGAUCAGAAAGCAGAGAGAAGACGACUUCACACUCCAGAUACAAGUAUAUACCCCAAAGCCACACCGACAAUGCCCCACUUCCUCCAGCCACACCCUACCUGCCUCCAGCCACCACUCAGUUAAUCCCAUCAGGGACUAAUUUGCUGUUUAGUUUAAGGCUCUUACAACCUGAUCAUUUCUCCUCCAAACCUUCUUGCAUUGUCUCACACAGAAGCUUUCAGGGGACACUUCACAUCUAAGCCAAACCCUGUGGAUAGGUAAAAUGUAAUGAUACAGAAUGUAGGCAAGUUUUAGCUGCCAGAUGCUCUAAAGCCUUCCACAGCCACAGAGGGAAUAACAAAAAUAAUCAAAAAAGUACAGUUUGUAAAUGUAAGCAUGAGAGGAGAUUUGGGAUAUCCUCAGCAAGAAAAACUUGAAAAUGGAAAUACUGUUUUUACAAUUUUUUUUUCUGUAAGACCAUCUCCAAAGCUAGCUAAACACCUAAAAAUUAUUCUAAUAAAUACAAGUUCUAAAUUGUUAUAUUCAUUGACCCAAUAACUAUUUCAAUAAAUCUGUUUGAAAGAAAGCCCCCCAAACACAGAUAAGUAAGAUACACAAAGAUCUUCAAAAUGCUUUAUUAAAUAAUGCAAUAACAAAACAAAGGGUUGACUACAUCCUUGGUUUCCAGUUGUGGAGAAACAGUUGUGAAUUAAUUGUGACUCUUCCAUUGGGAAGUCAUUAAAUGAUCUUUGUGGACAGUGUUGGGUGAUAUGGCAACAUGCUCAUAAUACCGAAAUAGAUUAAAGAGGUAGGUUAUGAAAUUACAUGUAGAGCUCAGUUGUAUAAUGAAAGAAAUGAUGACAGGAAGAAAUAAAUAUCCACAUGGAGACAAGUAUGCGCAUUGUUACAGGGUUUUUAAAAAAUAGUAUAUAUGAAUGUAUACACACACGUGUGUGUGUUUGUGUGUGUGUGUGAGUGUGUGUGUAUUAGAUUUUCUACAUUGGUCAUGUGCUUCUUUAAUAGACAAUUGAGAAAUAAUCAUUACUUCCAAAAUGGGGGAAAUGAUUAUGGGAGAGCCUCAGAAAGGGAUGAAUCAGUGCACAUCAUCAGCCUUUUAGAGAAGCUAUUGAAAAUAUAAGCCUUACUGACAGGAUCUGCAGCAUUGCCGUGUGCUGUCACAUUAGUGCUGGCUGCUGUUAGCUUUUAUUGAGUUGCCCUGGAUGCAGAUAAACCAGAAGACGCCUCAGUAAGAUUCUGAAAUCUACUGACACAUUUGUUUCCUAAGUACUGCCUGUGGAAGAGUAUCCUGUGUCUUUGUUGUAAAAGUCAUAGCUUUUACAUUUGUCAUCCAUGGGUGAAGAUACAAUUUUAACUUUGUAAUAUUGCAUUUGUAUUUAAAACUACCAUAUUAGCAAUUAUCGCUGCUGCUUCCUUCUUUCUCCUCCUCCUCUUCACCCUCCCCCUUCUUCUUCUUCUUCUUUUUUUUUUUUUCCUUUAAAGAGAUGAGGUUUCACAGUGUUGUCCAAACUGAACUCAAACCUGGGAUCAAGAGAUCCUCCUGCCUCAGCCUCCCAAGAAACAGGGACUAAAGACAUGUGCCAAUGUGCCCACCUUAAUUAUUGAUUCUUUAAUUUUUUUCCGAUAAUUACAUAUAUUUAUUCUUUUUUUUCCCUCAUAGGUACACCAUAAGUACAAAAUACUAAAGUUAUAAAAGAGAAAAAGAAGAUUGCUGCUAACAUGAAUCUGAGCAAUACAGCGCAUUUUGUGCCACAUACAAAAAGGUACUGUCCGUAGAUUUAUGACUUAGCUUUCUCCUAAAAACUGG